ACACAAUCAAGUAGCAUUGGGGUCCACACGGUUUGGAGAAACAGAAAGGGGAAAAGGAAAAAAAAAAUUGCUCAUCUUCUCCAUUAGGCAAAAUUUCCUCCGUCUACAUAAAACCUCACUAGUAGAAUUAUAGUGGGUUGUUAUUAUUAUUUGUUGUAUAUAAAACUUCACCAAAAUUUCAGCUCUUUACACAUACUUUUAACAUGGAAACUACUUAAUUCCAUCACCUCUAUUCAACCAAUGUUUGGACCACAAAUUAACAAAAGUUCCUCCAGUGAACUUUCCUUGACUGCAACACCACCCUUUCUCUAUUUUUAAAGCUCCCCACCACCGUCCUUUAUCAUUUUCUUUGUCAAAAUUAUCAGUGAAUUAGAAAUCAGAAAUGGGUUGAAUAUUAAGGGUAAAUUUCGGGCUAGAUCUCUGGAUUUGAACUCCAACCGAAGUUGCCGUUAGGGUGGGUAUUCUUCGAGUGUUAUGGUCUGCGGUAUCGGUCCAGAUUUGAAACGCAAUCGAGGUGCUAUUGUCAGAUUUGGUUUCUAGUUCAUCUCUGAGUAACGUUGUUUCUGUAUAAAGAGGUUCUUGCUUGAUCAAAAUCUGGAGAAAACUUUGCUACACAAAAGAUUCGGGGACGUUUGGAGAUCAAUUCACGAAGCAGGGGCAUAGCGGAGUAAGAAAUUAUGCGGUUUCGAGAUAAGUAUCUUGCCUAACCUUGAGUGGGGGAAUUACCCCUUAGGCAUCGAGUCUUAUGUGCCAUUUGUGAAAUAUGAAAAACCGUGUACGCGAGGUGACGAGUACGUACUCGGGCUUAUAUGUGCAAUUUUAUUGGAUUAAAGUCUUAGGCAUUAUUGUGUAAUAAAUUGGAUAAUUAUUGGCAUUUAUUAAAUCAUCUAUUUGUCAUGCCUCAAUCCUUGUUUGUUGAAUUUGUUUUUUAUAUGACAAUUUGAUGUGAUUGUUACUUGAAUAUUUAUGUAAAUUUCGUGAGUUUGUUGAUUUGAUAUUUUCUGGAAAUAAUUAUAUUAUGAAUUUUUCCAUCUGCAAAUAAUUAAUGAACUAAGUUUAAACUUAGGCGUUAAUAUAAUUAUCAAGAAUUUGGAUUAAUGAAGGCUUUGCCCUAUACUGAGUAUUUUCUAUCUCUGUUGAUUGUGUUUGAGAUUUUAUAUACAUUGUGUAGAGCCUUAUGCUAUUUUUGAGAAAUUUAUUGAUUUUACUAUAUCAUUGGAAUUGGUUGUGGUUGUUGGACAAUUUGUGAUAGGAAUUGAUUGUGUUGUGUUGUCGUGAUAAUAUCCCGUAUAAAUUGUUGUGUGAUUUGAGUUAUUAUUAUGAGUAUAUAAGAGUAAAAUUUCACUGUUGAUAUUAUGUGGGUACAAGGGUGACAUUUCACCGUGGUUAUGUGUGUUGAGAUAUUGUCUGGACGGAGCGAUAAGGGUGGCUAUUAUACGGAGCGAUAAGGGUGGUUGAAGGAGCUAUAAGGGUGACUAUUGAUAUUGUCAGGGCGGAGGGAUAAGAGAGGCUAUUAUAUGAGUGAUAAUGGUGGCUAUAUGAGAGAUAAGGGUGACCAUUGUUAGGGCGAUGGGAUAAGAGAGGCUAUUAUAGGAGUUAUAAGGGUAGCUAUAUGAGAGAUAAAGGUGACCAUUGUCAGAGCUGAUACGUGAUGAUGUGGAGUUAUUGUGUUGGUAAUUUUUAUGUGACGAUGUGGGGUUAUUGCGUUGGUAAUUUUCAUGUGAUAUUGUGAUUUUUCUUGUGUUUAUUUUUAUAUCUUGUGCAAUUUGUCUUGUUGUUGGUAAAUUGAUAAUAGUUUGAUAUAUGUUGAAAUUGGGAGCCUGUGGUUAUUGCCAGACAGAUUAUGAAAUGAAAUGUGGGCACGAGGUGUCGUGAGUAAAUAAUGAUGAUAUUAGCACGUGAACUGUUUGUGCAGUUGUGAUAUGAAAUGGGGGUACGAGGUGCCGUGAGUAAAUGAUGAUGAUAUUAGCACAUGAGUUGUCCGUGCGGUUGUGAUAGAGAAAUUGGCACAAUGUGCCGUGAAAAUAUGAAAGUGGACUGAGACCCGUAUUUUUAUGAUUUUGAAAUAAGGUGUCACAUGGUGAUUUUUAUUCGAAAGAUAUUUAUUUGAAAGAGUUAUAUUUGAAAGAUAUUUAUUUGAAGGGAGUAUAUUCGAAAUAUAUUUAUUAGAGAGUAUUAUAUCCUGAAGAUUAUUAUUUGAAAAAAAUAUAUAGGCGAAAGAUUUAUAUUUGAAGGACUUGAUUAAUUGGUUGUACUUGUAUUCAUUAUUUAUUGUGCAAUAUUUAUGGUAUUCUUGUUGCCCUGUUAUGUAUACCACUGGUUGAUUAUUGUUACCAUCAUUGUUAUUUGUUUCAUAUUAUUUUUGUAUACUAUAUUGCAUAUGUUAUUAAACUAGUGAGNNNNNNNNNNNNNNNNNNNNNNGUAUCACGACGCCUGUGGUGGAAUUUUGGGUCGUCACAUAUUUCUAUAAGUUAAAAGUGCUCUAACUAUUCACCAUAAAAUUGAAGAAAAAGAAAUUCUCACACGAAGAACACCCGUUGUUUAAACAAACACAUUGGAGAUUUAAUGACUAUGCUUCUUUUGUCAAUAUGCAAACUUAAAAAAAGCAAAAAGGUUUUUUAUACAUUUUCCUAAAAAUAAAUAUUUAAAUAUUUUCAGGAAUAUAAGUACAUUAAAAAUAAUUAUGAGAGAGUUGGAAAACUAUUUUCUCAUUGAAAGGGUUUUUUACAUUUUCCAUUUUUUCAACACAUCUCUUAAAAAUACUUUGUUUUUAAUUUUCUUUGCAGAAAUAAAUACUUCUCAUCAAAUGGAAUGUGUAUCAAACCAAAAAUACUCAACGAAAAAGAUUUCCAAAAAAAUUGUAUAGCCACCAUCCAAAUAUUAUAGUAAUAGUAUAUCUUUUUUUAGAACUAUGACAUACUCUUUUAAAAGCUAAUUUCUCUUGUUGAAUUUAAAGUAACCUCCAACAAUUGCAUGAGUUCUCCCAUUUUUUUCAAAAUUAAAAUUAAAAUAUUUGUACAAUAUCAAUAUCUUAAUUCAGCCGCAACAGUUUGUAUCUCGUAGCUUUUCAAAUUUUAAAAUACAAAUCAAGUUUAUUUCUAAUCUUAUUCGGUAGUUAGAAUUAACAACUUGGAAUUAGCGUACGGACUUUAUAUGAACGAACUUUUUGUCCUUUUACUAUAAAGAAAAAUAGGUGCAGUAAAAUAAAAUACUAAAAAAUAUUAAUACUGUCUGUUUUGAAUUUUGAAUUUAUCUUCUAAUUGCUUGUGAAUGGUAUGAUUCAGAAAACGUAAUAUUGGAAUUAUUCUCAUAUAAGAGCACCAGUCAACAAUCAAAAAUGGGGAGUAAAGUACCGGUGGGUUACGAUUCGGUCGGUUAUUAUAAAAGUACGGUUUGGUUUAUCGAUUUUUGAUUUUUUAAUAUUAAUAACCAAAUCAAACCAAAGUAUUUACGGGCACUUUCAUAUAUUGAAUGAUACAGGCCAUAUUUUUUCGUAGGGAUCUCUUCUGCAACUUCCCGACUCAAAGAAACCAAAUUCAUCAUAUAACCAAAACUGAUAAAUACUUCAAACAAGAAGAUAAGCAAAUACAGUUUAGCUGAAACUCGCCGCUAUCAAAGUCCAAAACUAGUCUAGAAAUACCAUCACCAAACAAUAAAACAGUGGCAAACUAGUCACAACCCGCAAACCACAAAGUAAGUUUAGAAAAGGAUACUUUAAAGUCUUAAAUACGAAUCACUGGAUGAGACAUGAGACACUUCUUAAUAUGCUUUACUAAGCCAAAAGUGCCAUAAUACUUCGGAUGACAAUUAUAAACUCGACCACAAUGAAGGCACUUUAUUUUGCGGGCUUCUUCAUUUUCUUCAAUUAGCUCAAAAUAUUCCCAAAUAGGUGAUCUAGCUUUAGGACCGUGAGGAAUGGUUGAACCUACAAAAUAAGAAAAGAUCACAAGUUAAUAAAAUAUUUUUAAUUAAAAAUAACAAAAGGAUAUCAUAAAACAAGCAAAUUUUUUAAACUUACCACUUGUUCAAACUAUGCAUCAACAAUGCUAGUAUCUCUUUCAACAAUGCAAGUUUCUCUUCCGCUCUUUCCCAUAUCUAAAUAUAAUUUGAUAAAGUGUGUCAUUUAAACUUACAAAGUAAACUAAUUUUCACUAAAAUACUCAUAAAACGCAAAAUCUUACCAAGUUCAAUUUGCUCAAGAAACUCCAAAUCUUCUUCAAUAUUAAUAGGAGUACCAUCACAUCUAAGCCAAUAUUGAACACAAACAAGACUUUGCACCAAUCGAGGAGUCAAUGAACUCCUAAAUGAAUCAAGAAUGCGGCCACGGUGCUAAAUGCACAUUCCGAUGCAACACUAGAAAUUGAAAUGGCUAAUACAUCACGAGCUAGCUUAGAUAGAAUAGGAAAUCGAGGCGCAUUAAUUUUCCACCAAUCUAAGAUUUUAAAGUCAUCAGAAUCAUCAGACAAUGGCUCUUGUCCUUCACCAAUAUAUCUUUUCAACUCAGAUUUAGCACCUACACUUUCGAAGUCUUCCUUUUGCCUUUUCAAUAAUUGCUUUAUUCUCAUAGAUUUUGUUCUCACAUUAGAUGAAUCAGAUGUUGUCAUCAGAUGAAGUAGAUUUAGAUGGAGACGAUUGAAGAUAAAAUCCUUUGGAAUAUAUUUUUUGAUACUCCCCAAACAAAGAAUUCAAAUAAGCAUCCACUUCGGCGGCUAAUUUCUUCCCUGGUUCGUUUCCGAAUAUUUCCUCAAGUGCAAAACUAACAUACUCUAAUUUGUUAUGAGGAUCUAAUACAAAAGUAAUGAAUAUCAUUUUAUUCAUCUUUUCAGGUUCACUCUAAUAUUUUUUAAACUUUUCUUUCAUAUUCCCCGCCAUCUUACUCAAAUUAGUAUCAUCACUAGCUAAACAAGCUUUCAAAUGACUAUCAAGCUCACAUAUAUCCUUAAAAUGACAAUUAGAAGUGACAUAACGUGAACCUGAAAAUUUUUCGGUGGGUUCGUGAAAUCAUUCAAGAAACUUUAUCACGUUUCUCACAUUCACCCAAUCAUCACAUACAAAUAGACCUGCAACAUUCCCAUCCUCACAAAUAUACGUACAAAGAUGAGUAGAAAAUCCAUCAUUAAAAAGAUGAAGCUUGUCAAAGGCCUUCUCAAAGUUUUGCGCCGUUUCUAACAUCAAGUAGGUUGAAUUCCACCUAGUAGGAAUAUCCAAACACAAUGUUUUGCUACAUUCUACCUCUUGAUGUGCCCAACAUUCCCUAAACUUUAAGGUCCUUUGUGGAGAUGAUCUCACAUACUUCACAGCUUGUCUAAUACGUUUUACAGAAAUAUCAAUUUCCUUCAAACCAUUUUGCACAAUUAGAUUAAGUAUGUGUAACGACCCGACAUGUCAUUUUAAGAAUUUAAACCCCGUCUGGCGGCAUAAGGCCCUGAGCAGCUUCUUAUUAUGUGUAUUGACUUGCGUACAUGGUUGAAUUCAGUUACCGGAUGAUUCUGAGUGAUUUGGAAAACGUGGUCCCCAAAACGAAAACUUAAGUCUUAGGAUUUUUACCGUAGCCAGAACUGUGUGAAGACGACUCCGGAAUAGAAUUUUGAUGAUGUCAAUAGCUCCGUAUGAUAAUUAUGGACUUAGGAGUGUGUCCGAAAAAUUAUUUGGAGGUCUGUAGAGGAAUUUGGCUUGAAAUGGCGAAAGAUGAAUUUUUGGAAAGUUUGACCGAGGGGUUGACUUUUUGAUAUCGGGGCCAGAAUCCGAUUCUGAAAAUUGAAAUAGCUUCGUUAUGUCAAUUAUCACUUGUGUGCAAAAUUUGAAGUCUUUCCAAAUUGAUUUGAUGUGUUUCGGUACAAGAUAUAGAAUUUGAAAUUUUAAAGUUUAUUAGACUUGAAUUGAGGUAUGAUUCGUGACUUUGAUUUUGUUUGAUGUGAUUUGAGGCCUCGCGCAGGUUCGUAUUAUGUAUUGGGAUUGGUGGUACGAUUGGACGGGGUCCCGGGGGCCUUGGGUUUGAUUCGGGGUGGUUCCGGACCAAGUUUGGGUAUUUUGAUGUUGCUGGUUGCUGGUUCUGGUGUUGUUCUUCGUGUUCGCGAGGAGCCUCUCGCGUUCGCGAAAAAGGAUUUUGCUGUUGGGACUUUGUUCUUCGCGUUCGCGAAGAGGUUCUCGCGAUUGCGAAGAAGGAAAUUUUACUGUUCGUUGUCUGUAUUUAGAGGCUCAUAUCUUGCAAUCUAUAAGGAAUUUGGCGAUGAUCCAAAAUUUAAAAUUAUAGCCUUUUCUGUCUAGUUUUCAGAAAGGUAAACUAUUUUGAAUUUGAAGUUGUGUACAAAAAGUUAUAGUGGAUACACUAUAGGCUGUCCGGGAAGAGUUUGGAAAUCUCUGUUGCACAGGGCUAAUUUUGGAAGCUUAUAUCUCGUAAUCUAUAAGGAAUUAGGAGAUGAACAACAAAUUAUAGUUAUAGCUCAUAGAGUCUAGUUUUCAGAAAGUCAAACCAUUUAUCAUUUGGAGUUUUGUACAAACAGUUAUGACCAUUAUACUAGAGGCUGUCUGAGAAGAGUUUGAAGAUGACUUUUGAAGAAUUUGUUCAUCGCGAACGGGAGGGGAGUCUCGUGAACGCGAAGAACAAACCCCUGGGCAGCAGAAUAAAGUCCAAAUUCGUGUCAUUCUUCCAUUUUGGACCAAGGAAGAUCGGGUGAGACGAUCUUUCGAGAGUUUUUCAAGAAAAAUAUUGGGGUAAGAAUUCCUAACUUGAUUUUGGUUAAAUUACAUGAAUCUAUUGUGAUUUUUAUCACUAAAUUAGUGAAUUGGGUUGAAAAAUUUAGAAAAUCCUCUUGGUUUAAAUUUAAGAUUUGGAGGUCGAUUUUUUAUUGGAAUUCGAUAAAAUUGGUAUGGUUGAACUCAUAUCGGAAUGGGUGUUCAGAUUUUAUGAAAAUUAUAUCGGGUUCCAAGAGGCAAGCCCCGCAUUGACUUUUAUUGACUUUUUAGAAUAAAAUUUUAAGUCGACGUAUUAUUAUCCGAAAUUAUUUUCGAUGAAGUUUAAUGAAGUUAUACAAUUAAUUUGGAUAGAUUUGAGCUGUCCGGAGGUCAAUUCAAGCAAGAAGGUUAUUUUGGAAUAUCGGCCUAACUUCAAAAAGGUAAUUGUCUUGCCUAACCUCGAGUGGGGGAAUUACCCCUUAGGCAUCGAGUCUUAUGUGCCGUUUGUGAAAUGUGAAAAGUCGUGUACGCAAAAUAUAUUGGGUUUAAGUCUUAGGCAUAUUGUAUAGUAAAUUGGAUAAUUGUUGGCAUUUAUUUAAUCAUCUAUUUGCCAUGCCUAAAUCCUUAUUGGUUGAACUUGUUUUUAUAUAACAAUUUGAUGUGAUUGUUAUUUUAAUAUUUAUAUAAUUCCGUGAGUUUAUUGGUUUGAUAAUUCUGGGAAUUUAAUUUCAUUUUGAAUUUUUCCUUUGCAAAUAAUUAAUUAAGCAAGUUUAAGAAGACGCGUUAAUAUAAUUAUCUAAAUUUGGAUUAAUGAAGGCUUUCAUUUAUGCUGAAUAAUUUCUAUCUUUGUUGAUUGUUUUUGUGGUGUUAUACACAUUGUGUGGAACCUUCGGCUAUUUGUUGUAAAAUUUAUUGAUUUGAUUUUAUCUUUGGAAUUUGGUUGUGGCCAUUGGGCAAAUUGUGAUAUGAAUUGAUUUUGUUAUGUUGUCGUGAUAAUUUUUCGUAUAAAUUAUUGUGUUGUGUGAGUUGUUAUUUUGAGGAUAUAAGGGUGGCAUUUCACUAUUGUUAUUUUGAGGAUAUAAGGGUGGCAUUUCACUGUUGAUAUUAUGUGGGUAUAAGAGUGGCAUUUCACUGUCGUUGUGUUUGUUGGAAUAUUGUCUGGGCGGAGCGAUAAGGGUGGCUAUAGGAGCGAUAAGGGUGGCAAUAGGAGCGAUAAGGGUGGCUAUUGAUAUUGUAUGGGCGGAGCGAUAAGGGUGGCUAUAGGAGCGAUAAGGGCGGCAAUAGAAGCGAUAAGAAUGGCUAUUGUCAGGGACGAUAUGUGAUGAUGUGGGGUUGUGGUGUUGAUAAUUUUUAUGUGAUGUUGGGAUUUUCUUAUGUUUAUUUUUAUACUUUGUGCCAUUUGUCUUAUUGUUGGUAAAUUGAUAACAAUCUGAUUUAUGUUGAAAUUAAGAGCCUGAGGCUAUUACCAGGAAGAUUAUAAAAUAAAAUGUGGGCACGAGGUGCCGUGAGUAAAUAAUGAGGAUAUUCAGCACGUGAAUUGUUCGUGCAGUUGUGAUAUGAAAUGUGGGCACGAGGUGCUGUGAUGAAAUGAUAAUGAUAAUUGGCACGCGAAUUGUCCGUGCAGUUGUGAUUUGAAAUGAGGGCACGAGGUGCCGGGAAAAUAUGAUGAUUAAACUAUGGGCACGAGGUGCCGUGGAAAUAUAAAAAUUGGCUGAGACCCAUAUUUUUACGAUUAUGAAAUGAGGUGUCACAUGAUGACUUUUUAAUUGAAAGAAUUAUAUUCAAAAUAUUUAUUUGAAAGGAUUUUCAUUCAAAAAGAAUUAUAUGAAAGAAUUGUAUUUGAAAGAUAUUUAUUUGAGAAAAUUAUAUUUGAAAAGAUUUAUUGAAAGAAUUAUAUUUGAAAAAUAAUUAUUUGAGAAAAAUUAUAUUUGAAAGAGAGUUAUCUGGAAGAAUUAUAUGUGAAAGAUAGUUAUUUGAAGGACUUGAUUUAAUUGGGUGUAGUUGUAUUUAUUAAUUAUUGAGUGAUAUUAAUGGUACUCUUGUUGUCUAUUGUGCAUAUCACUGGUUGUUUUAUCCUGCCCUUAUUGUUAUUUGUUUUCUAUUAUUUUGUAUAAUAUAUAUUGCACAGGUUAUUAGACUAGUGAGUGUCUUGAUUGUACCUCGUUUCUACUCCACUGAGGUUAGUUUUGAUACUUACUGGGUACCGACCGUGGUGUACUCAUACAAUACUUCUGUACAUUUUUGUGCAGAGCUAGGUAUUGGAGAUAUCGGACUUGAGCAGAGUUAAAUCGGGAUCGUAAGGAUUCAAGGUAGAGCUGGUUGGCCGUCGCAGUCCCUUGGAGUCUUUUCAUUUCAUUGUACUGUUAAUUUGUAAUCAAAGAAUAUUGUAUAUUCGGUCCUCGUGAUCAUUCCAUGUAUUCAGUUAAAGUUCGUGACUCAGUACUACCAGUCUUGGGAGGUUAUAUAUUCAUAUUUAUUCCGAUGUUAGUUUUUAUUACUUAGUUUUAAAAAGCAAAAAUGGCUUCAAAAUGCAAUUGAAAACGGCUUACCUAGUCUUAGAGACUAGGUAUCAUCACGACGCCUAUGGUGGAAUUUUGGGUCGUGACAGUAUGUGAGUCAUGCAUCUCACAUGAAGAUGCUUACCAUUUAUCGAAUUAGUUUUCCGCAUAUCUAGUUGUUUAAACAAUUCUUUGAUCGUGACAUCAUUCGAAGAAGCAUCAUCUAUAGUAACAGUGAAUACCUUAUCCAAUUUUCAUUCAAGCAAAUAAUUACCAAUAACUUUUGCCAUUUUGUCACCCUUAUGACUAUCGAUAGGGCAAAAAUAUAGUAUUAUUUUAUGCAACACCAAAUCUCUAUCUAUCAAAUGACCCGUCAAACACACAUAGUUAAUUCUUUGUAACGAAGUCCAUGUAUCUGUGGUAAGUAAAUUUUUGGUUUUACUUCUCUGAAAAUUUUCAUUAGUUUAAGCCUCUCUUCACUGUAAAUUUAAAAACAAUCUCUUGUAAUUGUCCUACGAGAAGGAACAUUAAAUAGAGGUUGGGCUAUGCUCAUAAACUUCUUAAAGUCUUUCUUUUCAACAAAGCUAAAAGGUAAAUCCUCCGUAAUUACCAUCUCAACUAAAGCCCUCCUAACUAGUUCUUGAUCAAAUUUUCAAAGCACCCCGCCAUUAAUUUUCCCAUCCUUUUGUAAACACAUUUGUGUUUGAGUAUUAUCAAAUUUCCGUGGUAUUUUUGGACACUUUUUUAAAUGAGUAUUCAAUGAUGUUGUUCCAUACAAUUGUGAAUCAGCCUUAUAAUCACGACCACAAUGUUUACACUUUGCUCUAUCACCUCUAUUAUCAUAUUUAAACUUUUAAAAAUGAUCCCAAGAUAUUGAUCUACAUUGUACGGAUUUUCUUUUUUUGGGGCCUUGACUAGUUUCAACUGAAUUUGUAGGUGAAGAAGUAGGUUCACUUUCAGAUGAACCCACCUCACUUACUCUACUUUCAACUUCUGCCAUCUAUACAAAAUCGAAUGAAAACAGACUUAAAAAUGCAAACUGGUAUACAAUAUAAAUCUAUCAUGUCGCAACUCGCAUAAAAUUAAGUAGGCACAGAGGCAAAAAGAAUAAAAGAACAAAAGAACAACAGCAAAAACAGAGGCAAAAAAACAAAAGAGGCAGUUGUCACUUCUUUUUGGCAAAUAUUAACUCGAAAGAGUCCUAAAAAUAAGAGGCAAAUGCGCAUAUAUACUAUUAUACUAUAAACAAGAGCAGAAAAUUGAAAGUUGAAAGAAACCAGCAGGAAGAGCGACGAGGGAAAACUGAAAAGGAACUGAGAAGAAGGAGGUAACCACUAACCUGAGGAUGAAGGAUGAAUGACGAGCGGAGGACGAAGGCGUCACAGGCUCACAGCAGUCGGGCGUCGCCACAGUCGCACAUAGGAGGAAGGAAGUCGGGACUCUCAAGUCUCAAGAACAAGAACCCUAAUUAGAAAUAAUUUCUAAUUUCUAAGGAAGGGAAUUAGAAAAGUAAUAUAAGUCUAUGUUGGGUUAGGUACUGGUAUUGGGUAAAUUGGGUUUAAGAUGGGUAUUGGGUAGAUUGGGCUUCGGAUGGAUAUUGGGUUUCAGAUGGGUAAAUUGGGUUUCAGAUGGGUAUUGGGUUUCAGAUGAGUAACGUAAGUCUGUGUUGUCCUAUUGAAUUAGGUACUCAUACCCAAAAAUUUACUUUUUCGGUUUAACCGAAAACCAAAAUACCAAAACCGUUAACCGCACCGAAUACCAAAAUUUAAUAAUUUAUAAAUCGCACACCGACCGAAUAACCGAUUAAACCGACACCAAAAAAUCAAAAUUUACGGUUCGGCUGAUUUUUUCGAUUCGACCGGUAUUAUGCCCCACCCUAGAGUAAAGGGUGAAGUUAACAAGGGACAAAAGAAUUACUACCACAAAUUAAAGGAACAAAAACAAAUUGCUUUUUUUCUCCAACAACAGUAAAAUUGCUUUGUUAACCAAUAGAAUUGCUACGUUUGACGCAAUGAACACAUGUGAUGUCAAAACAUGGGAUGCACAAGUGGUGUAAUGACUAAAUUAUCCUCAGACCUUAAUUAAAUGACAUUAAGAACACAUAUCAAACAUACAAUCAUUAUUCACAUUUCUAUAUAGUAGAAAAAGGACAUGAGAUGUUUCAUUUUGCUUCGAUGUUCUUAUUGAAUUUAUGGUGUUACUGCUUGUUGUUAUUACUUUUUUUUUUAAUUUGACUCGAGGGUCUAUCAACAACAACCUCUUUACCUUUUCAAGGUAGGAAUAAGAUUGCGUACGCACCACCCUUCCCAGAUCUCACUUGUAAAAUUUUACUGAAUUUAUUAUUAUUGUUAUUGUAGAAAAAGGAUACUAGUAUCCGUUAAUUCUCCAAUAGAUUAACAAAAAUCAUAAGAAUUAAAUACGAAAAGGUUAUCAAAAUUCUGGAGUAAAAUCUACAAAUCAACUAUGAACAGGAAAUAUAAGAGAAAUUUAAUUUAAAAAUAAAAAAUAAAAGAUCUGGAAAAAAUAGUCGGGUUAUUAGGUGUUAUACCUACGAGGUUAGACCACUAAUAUUUGGAAUAUAUUUGGUCAAGCUUCUAGGAGGUCAAAAGUAUUUUUUUAAAAAAAUUUGAUGUGUUUGGCCAAGAUGAAAUAGUGCUUUUGAGCAGCAGCAAAAGCAAUUUUUCUGCUUUUAAAAAGAAGCUACAAAUUCUAGAUUCUUCGAAGAAGCAGAAUCAGAAAAUUAAUUUUUUAAGACAAAAAUAUCUUUACUAAAAAAUUUAUAUAUUUCAAAUGAUACUUCAUUAAUUUAAUUUUUUUGUUUCUUUUUAAUUAUUAUCAUCCCUUUUUUAGUUUUUAUUUAUUUUAUUUUUAUCGAAUUUUUAUUCUUCUUCUCUUAUACGUCUUUGAAUUUUUAUUCUCCUUCUCCUUCAGUUAGAGUACAGUGGAGAGGUCGGCCGAUUGAAGCAGCCAUGUGGGAAUCCGAGUUCAACAUGCGUAAUAGAUAUCCACACCUCUUCACUAGUCCAACUACCUUUCUUUGUCCGUUCGAGGAUGAACGUUAAUUUUAGAGGUGGAGAAUGUGAUGAUCCGAUAGGUCACUUUGAGUUUUAGCCUUCAUUUAUGUGUUCCGAGACCUCGAACAGCUCCGUUUAGCCUUCCUCGAUUUACGUACAUAAUUCAUAUCUUUUUUCGGAAAUUUUUUCUGUGAAAAAUUGAAGAAAAUAAAUUUUAAUCUUAAAAUGAUUUGAGUUGACUAUGGUUAAUAUUUUAUGUAAACGAACCCGAAUCAGUAUUCUGACGGUCCCUGUGGGUUUGUAUCGUGAUUUGGGACUUGGGCGUACGCCCGUAAUCGAAUUCGAAAGUCCCUAACUUGAUUUAACGUGAGCUGUUGAAAACUAGUAAUUUGAAGGUUAAAAGAAUUCUCAAGUUUGAUUGUAGGUUGACUUUGUUGCUGCUGAGUUCAUUUGGAAUAGGUUUAUUUCAUCAUUUAUGACUUGUUUGCAAAAUUUGGUGUAAAACGGAGUUGAUUUGACGUGAUUCGGACAUCCGGUUGUUAAUUUACAUGUUCUUGAGUCCUUUGAAAAUUUCAUACAUUUUGAUGUCUGAUUCGUAGUUUAAGGUGUUAUUUUAGUAUUUGAUCGCAUGAGCGAGUUCAUAUGAUAUUUUUAGACUUAUAUUGAUGUUUGGUUUGGAGCCCCGAUGGCUCAAUGUGAGUUUCAGGUAAGUUUCAGAGAGUUUGGGAGAGUUUUGGUGUUGCUGGUGUGAUCUGGUGUGCAGGUCUCGCAAAUGCAAGAUUAGAUAUCGCAUUUGCGAUGAAUGGCCAAGUUUAUUAUGAUCGCAUUUGCGAAUAUUUGUUCGCAAUUGCGAAGAUGGCCUGGGAACAACAGAGAUUGCAUUUGCGAUCAUUUGAUCGCUUUUACCAAGUUCCAAUGUUCGCAUUUGUGAACUGGUCAUCGUAAUUGCGAUGACAGCAGAGAUGUGUGGAAUUCGCUUUUGUGAUGACGCGAACCCCAUGUCGCAUUUGCGACUGGACAAAAAGCUGAGGGACGAGAGUUUUAGCCUCAUUUUCAUAUCUUGGAACCCUAGCCUCGGUAGGAGGCGAUUUCGAAAAGGGAAUUUCAUCUACAAAAUUUGAGUGAGUGAUUCUAAUCCUAUUUUAUCAAUUUAUCUUAGAUUUUAACAUCAAAAUUAUGUGAAUCAAAGUGAAAGUUUGUGGAACCUUGUCAAGUUUUUGAAAAAUAAAAAAUCAACUUUUCAAAGUCGAUUUGGACUCGAAUUUUAAAACUAAUCACAUAUAUGAACUCGUGGGGUCAGGGGUAGUCGGAAUCUACCAUUGGACUCGAGUUUUGACCGGGCGUGCCCCGGGUCGACUUUUGUUGACCUUUUGGAAAAAGAGUAAAGAUCUUAGCUUUAUCUAUUGUAAUUGAUUUUCCAAGCAUUGUUUGAUGAUAUUAAGUCGAUUUUGGUUAGAUUCGAUUGGUUUGGAGGCGAAUUUUAGAGGAAAGGCCGUGGUUGAACUUUGAUUUGGUUGCGGAGUGAGGUAAGUGUUGGGUCUAUCCUUGAUUUGAGAGAAAUAGGAACCCUUGAACACGAGUGUAUAUACGCCGUCAAAAUGAUUGUUUCCAUGACUUUUUCGUAUUUCUUGAAUUAUCUCACUCCAUGCCUUAAUUGUUACAUGCUUUAAUUGCUUUCUAUGCCGUAAUUUGUUACUUGCCAUCAAUUAUUUUUGUAUUGAAUUUUUCGUUCCUUCCACGACUCCGUGAUUAAUUGCUACUUGGCUUAAUUAUCUUACUUGCACACCUUAAUUGUCACGUACUUGACUUGUUUUGUUGCUUUUGUAUUAUAUGUAGCAUUCUUUUGAUUAGUACGUGGUUUCUAAAUUGAAUUAUUGAAUUGAUUGCGUUUAUUGAGAAUGUUUAUAGAUCGGGUUGCAUGCUGCAACGGUUGUAAUAUGGUGGAAUAAGGGAGGGUUUUGACAUUGAUUAUAAUGAUAUGGUGGGAUCGGGUUGCGCACCGCAAUGGUUGUGUACGUAAUACUUGUUAUUGAUAAAUUAUGACAUAGUGAAAUAAGGGAGGAUUAUGACAUUGAUUAUGAUGAUAUAUUGGGAUCGGGGUUCUUGAUAAUGAUAAAUGAUAUUAUGGUGGAAUAAGGGAGGAUUGUGUGUGUACGGUAAGAUCGGGUUGCGCGCCGCAAUGGAUUAUGUAUGUUGUACUCAUUAUGUUAUUGUGUUAGUUUUCAUCCUUUUAUAUGAUAUUUUGAGGUCUCAUAUUCUAGAUUCUCUGGUUGCGAGGAUUGAGCUCAUUUUCAUAAAUUAACUGCUUUUCCGUCAUUUCUUGUUUUCUUCGCUGUUAUUAUUAUUAUUACUGCAUACAGGUUAUUUUAAGUGACCCACCUUAACCUCGUCACUACUUCGUCGAGGUUAGGCUCAGCAUUUAUAGAGUACAUGAGGUCGGUUGUACUCAUACUACACUCUGCACUUCUUAUGCAGAUUUUAGAGUUGGUCCUAGCAGUGGUCAGUAGAUUUCUUGGAUCCGAUGCUUGACGGAGACUUGAGGUACAGUUUCACAACGUUCGCGGCCCUGAAGUCCCCAUCUACAGUACCCUAGCUAUUUAUUUCAAUUCAGACAGUUAUGCUUUCAUUCUGACUAUUAUUUGUAGUAAUCUAGACGCUCGUGUAUUCGUGACACCAGUUCUGUGAUUUGUAUUUGGAUCGUCGUUUAUCAGAUUUAUCUACUUUAUUUCAGUUUAUUUAGCUUAUUGGUUUUCAUUUGAUUUGAAUUAUUAAAAAUGGUUAAUAACUAUAUCUAACAUUGGCUUACCUGGAAAGUGAAAUGUUAGGUGCCAUCACGGUCCCGAGGUUGGGAAUUUCGGGUCGUGACAAGUUGGUAUGAGAGCACUAUGUUGCUUAGGUAUCAUGAGUCAUGAGCAAGCUUAGUAGAGUUUGGGAGAUUGGUGCAGAGACGUCUGUACUUAUCUUUCAGAGGCUACGGAGUUUAGUAAAAAAUUCACUUCUUUCCUUCUCUAUCGUGUGAUUUUAUUCUAUUAUUGAUGAUUGAACCAUUCUAUUCUUAUUCUCUCGCAGAUGGCGAAAAAACGCACAACAUCUACAGCCGGACAAGAGCCGGAGCCCCUUAUGAUAGCUACUACCAAGGUCAGAGGCCGAGGCAGAGACAGAGCUCAACCUAGAGCUCGAACAACAUCACCCGCAGUGGAUCCUCAGAUUGAUCAUGAGGAUGAGGUCCUAGCUCAGACCGUUCCCUUUGGACCAGCUCAGAUCCUUGGGGGGGAUUUAUAGCCACUCCCGUUCUUUAGGACGCUCUAGUCCGCUUAGUGAGCCUUAUGAAGAGUGGCCAAGAUCGGUGCAUUCCCGAUGGCACCAGCCGUCUCUCGGGCUGGAAGAGAAGCACAAACUCCCGCUACUCACACCCCGGAGUAGGUGACUCCCAUGUAUCAGACUCCAACAGCCCAGCCAUUUGGGGUGGUUCAGCCGGUUGUUACGACACAGGCCGGUGAUAGGCCCACUAUGUCUUCUGAGGCCUUGUUGAGGUUGGAUAAGUUUACCGAGCUCUUCCUUAUUCAUUUCAGCGGUGCAUCUUCUUAGGACCCACAAGAUUACUUGGACUGUUUGCCACAAGAUAUUGCACAACAUGGGUAUAGUUGAGACCAAUGGGGUCAACAUUAUAGUGUUUCAGAUGACUGGUUCCGCCAAGAGAUGGUGGAGAGAUUAUAUGUUGACGAGACAAGCUAGUUCGCCUGCACUUACCUGGGAUUAGUUUUCACAGCUAUUUCUACAUAGGUUCAUUCCUUUCACUCUAAGAGGAUUACCGCAGAUAGUUUGAGCAUUUUCAGUAGGGUAGUAUGACUGUUACCCAGUACGAGACUCGAUUUGUGGACUUAGAUUGCCAUGCCAUUGUUUUACUCCCUACUAAGAGGGAGAGAGUGAGGAGAUUCAUUGAUGGGCUCACUUUCAGUAUCAGGCUACAGAUGGCCAAGGAGAUUAGAGAUGAUAUUUCUUUCCAGAGGGCCGUAGAUAUUGCUAGACAGAUUGAAAUGGUUCGUGGUUAGGAGGGGGGCAGGUGUCUGAUAAGAGGCCUCGUUAUUCCGAUGGUUUCAGUGGCGCCUCAUUUGGAGGCAGAGGUACUUUUGGUAGAGGUCAGGGGUCAGGCUGCCAGAGGCGGAGGUCAGGCCAUUAGAGGUGGAGGUCAGACUGUUAAAGGUGGAGGCAAGACAGCUAGAGGCCGUUCGAGAGACGGAGGUUAGGGUGGUGGGGCCCAGGCUCGAUUUUAUGCAUUCCCAGUUAGACCUAAUUCGGGCUCAACUUAUUCCUACGUGUCAUCCUAUUUUUCUUCAUACCUGGUUGUGCCUCGUGAUUCUUUGAGUGCUCAUGUGUAUGUGUCCAAGCCCAUGGGAGAUUCUAUUGUUAUAGACCAUGUCUAUCUCUCGUAUGUGAUCACUAUUGGGAGUCUUGAGACUAGUGUAGAUCUCCUGCUUCUUGAUAUGGUAGACUUUGAUGUUAUUUUGGGCAUGGAUUGGCUAUCACCUUAUCAUGCUAUAUUGGAUUGUCACGCCAAGAUGGUGACCUUAACCAUGCUAGGGUUGCCUCAAUUAGAGUGGAGAGGGACUCCUGGCCACUCUACCAGCAGAAUUAUUUCUUAUGUGAAGGCUCGACGUAUGGUCGAGAAGGGAUGUCUAGCGUAUUUAGCCUAUAUUUGUGAUUCAAGUGCAGAGGUUCUUUCCAUGGAUUCAGUACCAGUUGUGUGUGAGUUUUCAGAGGUGUUUCCUGCAGAUCUGUCUGGGAUGCCACUCGACAAAGAUAUUGACUUCUGUAUUGAUUUAGCUCCAGGCACUCAGCCCAUUCCAUUUCACCACACUGUAUGACCCCGCCGGAGUUGAAGGAAUUAAAGGAGCAGUUGCAAGAUUUGCUUGAUAAGGGAUUCAUUAGACCUAGUGUCUUGCUCCGGGGUGCGCAUGUGUUGUUCGUGAGGAAGAAAGAUGGGUCGAUGAGGAUGUGGAUAGACUAUCGGUAGUUGAACAAACUCACUAUCAAGAAUAAGUAUCCAUUGUCGAGGAUUGAUGACUUAUUUGAUCAACUUCAAGGUGCCAAAGUAUUUUCAAAGAUUGACUUGAGGUCUGGCUACCAUUAGUUGAAGAUUAGGGCAUCAGAUGUCCAUAAGACGACUUUUUGGACUCAGUAUACACAUUAUGAGUUCUUAGUGAUGUCAUUUAGGUUGACAAAUUCCCCAACAACACUUAUGGAUUUGAUGAACCGGGUAUUUAAGCCCUAUUUGGAUUCUUUUAUGAUCGUAUUCAUUGAUGAUAGCUUGAUCUACUCCUGCAGUCAAGAGGGGCAUGAGCAGCAUCUUUGGAUUGUACUUCAAACCCUGAGAGAUAGUUAGUUAUAUGCCAAGUUUUCAAAGUGUGAGUUUUGUUUAGACUCGGCCACCUUUUUGGGGAAUAUUGUAUCGGUCGAGGGCAUAAAAGUGGAUCCUAAGAAGAUUGAGGCAGUUCAAAACUGGCCUAGACCUACUUCAGCUACAUAGAUUCGGAGUUUCCUGGGUUUGGCGGGUUAAUAUUGCCGGUUCAUAGAGGGGUUUUCAUCCAUAGUAGCCUCAUUGACUAGAUUGACCCAGAAGGGUAUUCCAUUCAGGUGGUCGGAUGAGUGUGAGUUGAGCUUUCAGAAUCUCAAGACUGCUAUAACUAUGACCCCAGUGUUGGUGUUGCCUACAGGUUCAGGAUCCUACACGUUGUAGUGUGAUGUUUUGCAUAUUGGGCUCGGUGCAGUAUUGACGAAGGAUAGUAGGGUGAUUGCAUACACGUCGCGGCAGUUGAAGGUUCAUGUCCUGAAUAUUUGGAGGCAUUAUCUCUACGGUGUAUAGUGUGAGGUGUUCCCUUGAGAGGUGUUCACUUCAGACCCUGAGAGAUAGUCAGUUAUGUGCCAAGUUUUCAAAGUGUGAGUUUUGGUUAGACUCGGCCGCCUUUUGGGGCAUAUUGUAUCGGUCGAGGGCAUAAAAGUGGAUCCUAAGAAGAUUGAGGCAGUUCAGAACUAGCCUAGACCCACUUCACCUACAGAGAUUCGAAGUUUCCUGGGUUUGGCGGGUUAAUAUUAUCGGUUUGUGGAGGAGUUUUCAUCCAUAACUGCCCCAUUGACUAGAUUGACCCAGAAGGGUGUUCCAUUCAGGUGGUGAGAUGAGUGUGAGUUGAGCUUUCAGAAGCUCGAGACUACUAUGACUACGGCCCCAGUGUUGGUGUUGCCUACAGGUUCAGGAUCCUACACGUUGUAUUGUGAUGUUUUGCAUAUUGGGCUCGGUGCAGUAUUGAUGAAGGAUGGCAGGGUGAUUGCAUAUGCGUCGCGGAAGUUGAAGGUUCAUGAGAAGAAUUACCCUAUUCAUGACCUAGAGUUGGCAGCUAUUGUUCAUGUACUGACGAUUUGGAGGCACUAUCUCUACAGCAUGUCGUGUGAGGUGUUCACGGAUCGUCGGAGACUACAAUAUUUGUUCAAGCAAAAGGAAGGGGCAGAGGAGGUGGUUGGAGCUGUUGACAGACUGUGAUAUUACCAUUUUGUAUCAUCCCGAGAAGGCCAAUAUAGUGGCUAAUGCCUUGAGUUGAAAGACUGUCAGUAUGGGUAGUCUUAUGUAUAUUCUAGUUGGUGAGAGACCGCUUGAAUCAGAUGUUCAAUCUUUGACCAAUCAAUUCGUGAGGAUGUUUCGGAGCCCAGUCGUGUUCUAGCUUGCACGGUCUCUCGAUCUUCUUUGUAUGAGCGCAUCAGAGAGCGUCAGUAUGAUGAAUCAUAUUUACUUGUCCUUAAGGACACGGUGCGACACGGUGGUGCCAAGAAGGUUACUGUUGGAAAUGAUGGGGUGUUGCGGAUGAAGGGUCGGAUAUGUGUACCCAAUGUGGAUGGGCUUCGUGAAUUGAUUCUUGCGGAGGCCCAUAGUCCCUGGUAUUCCAUUCAUCCGGGUGCCACCAAGAUGUAUCAGAACUUGCGAUAGGAUUAUUGGUGGAGGAGAAUAAAUAAGGAUAUAAUUGCAUAUGUUGCUUGGUGUCUGAAUUGUCAGCAAGUAAAGUACGAGCAUCAGAGGCCUAUUGGUUUGCUUCAUAGGUUGGAGAUUCCUGAGUGGAAGUGGAAAUGUAUUACCAUGCAUUUUGUUGUUAGGCUCCCAUGGACUUAGAAGAAGUUGAUACAGAGUGGGUCAUUGUGGACAGGUUGACCAAGUCAACACAUUUUAUUCCAUUGGCAGUCACCUAUUCUUCAGAGCGGUUAGCUGAGAUCUAUAUCCGCGAGAUCGUUCGUCUUUAUGGUGUGACCGUGUCCAUCAUUUCUGACCGAGGUACGCAGUUCACCUUGCACUUCUGGAGGGUCGUACAUUGUGAGUUAGGCACACGAGUUGAGUUGAAUAUAUCAUUUCACCCCUAGACGGAUGGACAGUCCGAGCGCACCAUUCAGAUAUUGGAGGAUAUGUUUCGUGCUUGCGUUAUGGAUUUUGGAGGUUCUUGGGAUCAGUUCUUUCCGCUUGUGGAGUUUGCCUACAAUAACAACUACCAGUCAAGUAUUCAGAUGGCUCCCUAUGAGGCAUUGUACGGGAGGCGGUGUUGUUCUCCAGUUGGUUGGUCUUAGCCGGAAGAGGCUUGGUUGUUGGGUACCGAUUUGGUUCAGGAUGUCUUGGAAAAGGUCAAGAUGAUUCAGGAUCGACUUCGCAUAGCUUAGUCUAGGCAGAAGAUUUAUGCCAAUCUGAGAGUUCGUGAUGUUGCAUUCAUGGUUGGGGAGAGGGUAUUGCUCCGGGUUUCACCCAUGAAAGGUGUGAUGAGGUUCGGAAAAAAUGGCAAGUUGAGCCCUAGGUUUAUUGGACCCUUUGAGAUUCUUGAUAGAGUGGGUGAGGUGGCCUAUAGACUAGAAUUACCACCUAGUUUACCAGAAGUCCAUCCGGUGUUCAAUGUGUCCAUGCUCCGAAAAUAUCACGGUGAUCCGUCCCAUAUGUUAGAUUUGAGCUCAGUCCAAUUGGAUAAGGAUUUGACUUAUGAGGAGGAGCCGGUGUCCAUUCUUACCCGGCAGGUCCGGAAGUUGAAGCCUAAUAGUUAUCCUUCAGUUAGAGUAUAGUGGAGAGGUCAUCCAAUUGAGGCAGCCACCUGGGAGUCCGAAUUCGACAUGCAGAGUAGAUAUCCACAUCUUUUCACCAGUCUAGGUACCUUUCUAUGUCCGUUCGAGUUCGAACGUUUAUGUUUAGAGGUGGAUAAUGUGAUGACCCGAUAGGUCACUUUGAGUUUUAUCCUUAUUUCUAUAUUUUGAGACCUCAAAUAGCUUUGUUUAUCCUUCCUCGAUUUGUGCGCUCAUCCGUGUCUUUUUUCGGAAAUGUUUUAGGUGAAAAAUUUAAGGAAAUGUGAAUUUUAACCAUAAAAAUAAUUUGAGUUGACUACGCUUAAUAUUUUGAGUAAACGGACCCGGAUCAAUGUUCUGAUGGUCCUGGUGGGUCCAUAUUAUUAUUUUGGACUUAGGCGUAUACCCGAAAUCGAAUUCGGAAGUCCCUAACUUGAUUUAAUAUGAUUUGUUGAAAACUAGUAAUUUGAAGGUUUAAAGAAUUUUCAAGUUUGAAUGUAGGUAGAUUUAAUUGCUACCGGGUUUGGAUUUUGGUUUUCGGAACUUGAAAAAGGUUUAUUUCAACAUUUGUGGCUUAUCUGCAAAAUUUAGUCCAAAACGGAGUUGAUUUGACGUGAUUCGGACGUCCGGAUGUAAAUUUGCAUGUUCUUGAGUCCUUAGAAAAUUUCUUACAUUUUGAUGUUUGAUUUGUAGUUCUAGGUGUUAUUUUGGUACUUUGAUCGCGCGAAAGAGUUCGUAUGAUAUUUUUAGACUUGUGUUGGUGUUUGGUUUGGAGCCCCGAGAGCUCGGGUGAGUUUUGGUGUUGCUGGUGUGAUCUUGUAUGCAGGUCCCACAAAUGCAAGAUUAUAGGUCGCAUUUGCAACGAAUGGCCAAGUCUGUUAUGAUCGCUUUUGCGAACAUUUUAUUCACAAUUGUGAAUACGGCAUGGGAAUAGCAAAGAUCACAUUUGCGAUCAUUUGAUCGCUUUUGCGAAGUUCCAAUGUUCGCAUUUGCUAACUAGUCGUCGCAAUUGCAAUGACAACAGAGAUGAGGGGAGUUCGUUUUUGCAAUGAUUUCUUUGCAUUUGCGAUAUUUGCAACUCGAUAAAAAGCUGAGGGAUGGAAUUUUUGCCUCAUUUUCAUAUUUUGGAACCCGAGGCUCAGUAGGAUGUGAUUUUGAAGAGGGAAUUUCAUCUACAAACUUUGGGUAAGUGAUUCUAAUCCAUUUCUAAUCCUAUUUCUUCAAUUUAUCUUCGAUUUUAACAUCAAAAUCAAGUGAAUCAAAGUUAAAAUUUGUGGAUCCUUGUCAAGUUUUUGAAAAAUAAGAAAUCGAGUUUUGAGAGUCAAUUUGGACUCGAAUUUUAAAACUAAUCACAUAUAUGAACUCGUGGGGUCAUGGGUCCACCGGAUUGACUUUUGCUGACUUUUUGCGAAAAGAGUAAAGAUCUUAGCUUUAUCUAUUGUAAUUGAUUUCCCUAGCAUUGUUUGAUGAUAUUAAGUCGAUUUUGGUUAGAUUCGAUUGGUUUGGAGGUGAAUUUUAGAGGAAAGCCCCCGGUUGAGCUUUGAUUUGGUUGUGGAGCGAGAUAAGUAUUGGGUCUAACCUUGAUUUGAAGGAAUUAGGAACCCUUGAACUAUAUGUUACGUGAAUUACGUGUGUAACGACGUAUAUGCGAGGUGACGGGUGAUUGUUUCCAUGACUUUCUCGUAUUUCAUGAAUUAUCUCACUACUUGGCUUAACUGUUACAUGGUUUAAUUGAUUUCUAUGCCAUAAUUUGUUACUUGUCAUCAAUUAUUCUUGUAUUAAAUUAUUUGUUCCUUCCAUGAUUUCGUGAUUAAUUGCUACUUGCCUUAAUUGUCUUACUUUCACACCUUAAUUGUCACGUACUUGACUUGUUUUAUUGCUUUUGUAUGAUUUUUAGCAUUCUUUUGAUUAGUACGUAAUUCUUUAUUGCUUGCUUUCAUAUUCCUUAAUUGUAGAGAUUCUUGUAAAAUGAACUAUUGGAUUGAUUACGUUUAUUGAGAAUAUUUAUGGAUCGGGUUGCAUGCCGCUACAGUUGUGAUAUGGUGGAAUAAGGGAGGAUUUUGACAUUGAUUAUAAUGAUAUGGUGGGAUCGGGUUGCGUGCCGCAACGGUUGUAUACGUAAUACUUGUUAUUGAUAAAUUACGACAUGGUGAAAUAAGGAAGGAUUAUGACAUUGAUUAUGAUGAUAUGGUGGGAUCGGGUUGCACGCCGCAACGAAUUUUAUAUAUGAUUCUUGAUAUUGAUAAAUGAUAUUAUGGUGGAAUAAAGAAGGAUUGUGUGAGUACGGUGGGAUCGGGUUGCGUGCUCUAACAGAUAGUGUAUGUUAUGCUCAUUGUGUUAUUGUGUUAGCUUUCAGCCUUUUUAUAUGAUAUUUUGAGGUAUGAUAUUUUGGAUUCUCUAGUUGCGGGGAUUGAGCUCAUUUUAAUAAAUUAACUACUUUACCGUCAUUUCUUGUAUCCUUCUCUAUAAUUAUUAUUAUUACUGUGUACACGUUAUUUUAAGUGACCCCCUUAGCCUCGUCAAUAUUUCGUCGAGGUUAGACUCGGCACUUACAAAGUACAUAGGGUCGGUUGUACUCAUACUACACUCUGUACUUUUUGUGCAGAUUUUAGAAUUUGUCCUAGCGGCGUUCGGUAGAUUCCUCGGAUCCGGUGCUUGACGGAGACUUGAGGUGCAGCUGCACAACAUUCGCUGCCCUGUAGUCCCCUCCUACAUUACCCUUGCUAUUUAUUUAUUAUAGUACUCCAGAUGCUCGUAUAUUCGUGACACCAGUUCUGGGAUUUGUAUUUGGAUAUAGCCGUUUAUCAUAUUUAUCUACUUUAUUUUAGUUUAUUUAGCUUAUUAGUUUUCAUUUGAUUUGCAUUAUUAUAAAUGGUUAAUAACUACAUCUAACGUUAGCUUGCCUAACAAGUNNNNNNNNNNNNNNNNNNNNNNNNNAAGAUCACAACUGUUUAUCAAACAUUUGAUGAAUAUCAAAAGUGUUAACAUCUGACAAAUUUAAAAUUCCAAAAUUGCUCAAUAAUACGUUUAAGAGGACUAUUUUAAACUUAUCUUUUAAAGACCAUUACUUUUUCUCAUUCAAACCUAUCACUGGUCAAACCUCAUAAUUCCUAUUCAAAUAACGUGUUUGCUUAUAGUCAGUUUGGCCAAGCUUCUCAAUAGAUCAAAAGUGCUUUUUUUUCCCCUUAAAAGCACUUUUUAUUCCUAACUUGAGGUGUUUGGCCAAGCGUUUUUGGGGAAAAAGUGCUUUUGGGAAGAAGAAGAAGCAGUUUCUGAGAAGCAGAAAAAAGUAGUUUCUUCCAAAAAGCAGAAGCAGAAGCAAUUUUGAUUUUUCUUCUUUUCAAAAAUAUCCUUAACAAAAUAUAAUAUAUAGCAAAAUAACCGUUAAACCUAAUACUUAGGAUAUUAAUAUAUAAAUAUUUCUCAUUAUAUUUAGGAUAGCUUUCUAAUAUAUAGUGACAUUAGGGGUGAACGCUUUUAUAUUUGUUGAAUUAUAUUUAAUAUAUUUAACUUAUAUUAAAAGAAUUAAGUACUUUUAAAUUUUAUUUUCAUAUUUUACAUAAAUAAAAUGAAAAGAUUUAAUUAUUGCUUGUAAAAAUAAAUUUUUUGUAAUGACCCGGCCAGUCGUUUCGAGAAUUUAAGUCCCGUCAGGCGGCAUAAGGCCCUGAGAUGCUUCAUAUUGUGUGUAUUGACUUGCGUGCGUGGUUGAAUUCGGUUACCGGAUGUCUCAGAGUGAUUUGGGACACUUAGUCCCUAAAAGGGAAGCUUAGGCCUUAGGAUUUCGACCGUAAUCGAAACUAUGUGAAGACGACUCCGGAAUAGAGUUCUGUCGAUUCCAUUAGCUUCGUUGGGUGAUUUUGGACUUAGGAACGUGUCCGGACUGUAAAUCCGAGGUCUGUAGCCGGAAGUGAACUUUUUGAUAUCGGGGUCGGAAUGCGAUUCCGAGAGUUGGAACAGCUCCAUUAUGUUAUUUGGGACUUGCCUGCAAAAUUUGACAUCAUUCCGGGUUGAUUUGAUAGGUUUCGGUACGGGUUUUAAAAGUUGGAAGAUUUGAAAAUUUAUAAGUUCGAUUCAUGGUGCGAUUCGUAGUUUCGACGUUGUUUGAUGUGAUUUGAGACCUCGAGCGAGUCCGUAUUAGGGUAUGAAACUUGUUGGUAUGCUUGGACGAGGUUCCGGGGGCCUCGGGUGUGUUUCGGACGAGUUUCAGAUGUUUUUCAUGGUUUUGAACAUGUCUGGUUCUGGUGUUCUCGCACCUGCGACGCUUGGAGCGCAGGUGCGGCUCCGCUUCUGCGAUCCUUGAGGCCUGGGAGCUUGCUCGCUUCUGCGGAAGCUUGCAUGCAGGUGCGAAGGCCGCUUCUGCAUUCCCCCCUUUCGCUUCUGCGGUGACGCUGGUGCGGUUGUAAAUCCGCAGAUGCGGUUCUAGGCCUGGCCAGAUGAGUUCGCAGAUGCAGACUCCUUCUCGCAAAUGCGAGUGCGCAGGUGCGUCUCCUAGUCCACAGAUGCGGAAAUCCUGGUAGAAACAUAAAGUCGAGGGUUUGGCCAUUUUCUUCAUAUUUUGAGUUUUAGACUUCGGUUUUGGGAGCUUCCUUAUGGGUUUUUCAAGAAAAUCGAUUGGGUAAGUGUUCUUCAACUAGAAUUUAUUUAUUUCCAUGAUUCUAUCUUUAUUUUUUAUCAUUUAACUUUUGUUUUGAGUUGAGGAAAAGGGUGGUUUUUGAACAAAAUUUUCAAAAUGAAAAAUCACUGUUGUUACAUUAUAUGGUUAUGAGACUAGAGCAGAUCUUUUGCUACUUGAUAUGACUGGUUUUGAGAUUAUCCUGGGCAUGGACUGGCUAUCCCCAUAUCAUGUCGUCCUAAAUAGCCAUGCUAAGACGAUUACUUUGGCAAUCCCGGAAUUUCCUAGGUUGAAGUGGAAGGGUUUGUCUGUCAGCAGCAUCUAAUCAGGUUAUUUCCUUUCUAAAAACUCAACAUAUGGUCGAGAAGGGUUGUUUGACUUAUCUAGCCUAUGUUCGGGAUACUACUGCGAAAACUCCGACUAUUGAUUCAGUACCUGUGGUUCAGGAGUUCUCCGAUGUAUUUCCUUCAAAUCUUCCAGGCAUGCCACCAGAUCGCAAUAUUGAUUUUUGUAUUGACUUGGCUCCAGAUACCCAGCCUAUAUCUAUCCCACCGUAUCGCAUGGCUCCGAAAGAAUUUAAGGAAUUGAAAGAACAGCUUGAGGAGUUACUAGCCAAAGGGUUUGUCAGACCGAGUGUAUCGCCUUAGGAAGCACCGGUAUUAUUCGUGAAAAAAAAGGAUGGAACGAUGCAAAUGUGUAUUGAUUAUCGUCAAUUGAACAAAGUCACUAUUAAGAACAAGUAAUCGUUGUCGCGUAUUGAUGAUCGAUUUGACCAGUUGCAGGUUUCUAGGGUGUUUUCUAAUAUCGACUUAAGAUCGGGGUACCAUCAGUUGAAGAUUCGGGAUUCGGAUGUUCCGAAAACUACUUUCCGAACUAGAUACGAUCAUCAUGAAUUUUUGGUGAUGUCUUUCGGGUUAACUAACGCCCCGGCGGCGUUUAUGGAUUUGAUGAACAAGGUAUUCAGGCCAUACAUUGAUUAGUUUGUCAUUGUCUUCAUUGAUGAUAUUUCAUUUUACUUGUGCAGUAAGGAAGAACACGAGUAGCAUAUGAGAGUGGUGCUUCAGACACUGCGUGAACAAAAGCUAUAUGCUACGUUCUCCAACUGUGAGUUUUCCCUAAAUUCUAUAGCUUUCUUGGGGCAUAUUGUAUCGGGCGAGGGCAUUAAAGUUGAUCCCAAAAAGAUCGAGGCAAUUCAGAAUUGGCAUCGUCCCACUUCGGCGACUGAGAUCAGGAGUUUCCUAGGCUUAGCAGGUUAUUAUCGUCGGUUCGUGGAGGGCUUUUCAUCUAUUGCAACACCUUUGACCAAAUUAACCUAGAAGGAUGCUCCGUUCCGAUGGUCCGAUGAUUAUGAGGUGAGCUUUUAGAAGCUCAAGACAGCAUUCACUACAACACUAGUGUUAGUGUUGCCUUCCAGUUCGGGGAUGUAUACAGUGUAUUGUGACACUUCACGCGCUGGUUUGGGUUAUGUAUUAAUGCAUAAGGGGCGAGUUAUUGCAUAUGCUUCACGUCACCUGAAACCCUACAAGAAGAAUUACCCGGUACAUGAUUUAGAUUUAGCUACGAUUGUUCACGCUCUUAAGAUUUGGAGGCAUUAUCUUUAUGGGGUGUCUUGUAAAGUUUACACUGAUCAUCAUAGUUUACAAUAUUUGUUCAAGCAUAAGGACCUAAUUUUGAGCUAGCGCAGAUGGCUUGAGUUACUAAAAGAUUAUGAUAUUACUAUCAUGUAUCAUUUGGGCAAAGAAAAUGUAGUUGGAGACGCCUUGAGUAGAAAGGCGGAGAGUAUGGGUAGUUUGGCUUUCAUUUUAGCAGAGGCGAGGCCAUUAGCUUUGGAUAUUCAGUCCUUGGCUAAUAGACUUGUGAGGGUAGAUAUUUCAGAGCCCAGCCGAGUUCUUGCGUGUGUUGUGGCCCAGUCUUCACUAUUUGAGCAGAUCAAGGCUCGCCAAUAUGAUUAUCCACACUUAAUGGUUCUUCGAUAAACGGUACUACGGGGUGGUGCCAAGGAAGUUACUAUUGGCGCGGAUGGUGUUCUGCAACUCCAAGAUCGUUUAUGUGUUCCUAAUGUGGAUGGACUGAGGAAAAGGAUUUUAGAGGAGGCACACAGUUCUCGGUAUUCUAUUCAUCCAGGUGCUACGAAUAUGUAUCGUGACUUGAGGCAGCAUUAUUGGUGGCGGAGGAUGAAAAAGGACAUAGUUGAGUAUGUAUCUAGGUGUCUAAAUUGCCAGGAAGUUAAAUAUGAGCACCAUAGUCAAGGUGGCCUACUUCAGCAGAUGACUACCCUAGUGGAAAUGGGAACGCAUUAUUAUGAACUUUGUAGUUGGGUUGCCGCGGACCUUGCAGAAGUUUGAAGCAGUUUGGGUCAUUAUCGACAGGUUGACCAAGUCGGCACACUUUAUUCCGGUUAUGACUAUGUAUACAUUGGAGAGGUUGGCCCAGAUUUAUAUUUAGGAGAUAGUUCGGUUUCACGGUGUGCUAAUUUCUAUAAUAUCAUAUAGAGGCCUUUAGUUUACUUCACAUUUCUGGAGAUCAGUACAGAGUGAAUUGGGGUCCUUUCAUCCGCAAACCGACAGGCAGUCGGAGCGGACAGUUCAAAUUUUGGAGGAUAUGCUCAGGGCAUGUGUGAUUGACUUUGGAGGUCAGUGAGAUCGUUUCUUACCUUUGGCCGAGUUUGCUUAUAACAACAGUUAACAGUCCAGCAUCGAGAUGGUUCCAUUUGAGGCUUUAUAUGGUCGACGAUGUCGUUCGCCCAUCGGAUGGUUUGAGCCUGGUGAGGCUAAGUUACAUGGUACUGAUUUGGUAAAGGAUGCCUUGGAAAAGGUAAAAUUAAUUCAUGAGCGACUUCCAGCACAGUCCAGUCAUAAAAGUUACGCGAAUCAGAAAGCGCGUGAUUUAUCAUUUAUGGUGGGUGAAAAAUUUCUCUUGAAGAUUUCGUCGAUGAAUGGAAUCAUGAGAUUUGGAAAGAAGGGCAAGUUGAGCCCAAGGUUUAUAGGACCAUUUGAGGUGUUGAGACGAGUUGGGGAGGUUGCUUAAGAACUUGAUUUGCCUCCCAGUCUAUCAGGAGUUCAUCCGGUUUUCCAUGUAUCUAUUCUCCGGAAGUAUCAUGUCGACCUAUCGCAUGUGUUAGACUUCAGCACGGUUCAACUAGAUAAGAGCUUGGGUUAUGAAGAGGAGACAAUUGCCAUUAUUGAUAAACAGGUUCGCCAGUUGAGGUCCAAGAAGAUUACUGCAGUAAAGUCCAGUGGAGGGGGCCAACCAGUCGAGGAAGAGACUUGGGCGGCCGAGGAGGACAUGUGGAUCAGAUAUCCACACUUAUUCAGCACUCCAAGUAAAAUUCUAAACCCGUUGGAGGAUGAACNNNNNNNNNNNNNNNNNNNNNNNNNCGUUUGUGCUUUUAUUAAUUUAUGACUCGCGGAGAUGGUUGGUUCGGGAUUCGGAAGUGUUCGGGUUGAAAUCGGAACACUUGAUUCCUUAGUUUGGCUUUAAAGGCCCAAGUUUGACUUCGGCCAAUACUUUGAGAAAACGACCCCAGAAUUAAGAUUUGACAGUUCUAAUAGGUUCGUAUGAUGAUUUUUCACUUGAGCAUAUGUUCGAAUCGGGUUUUGGACAACCCGGGAGCGCUUCGACGCUUAAUAGUGAAAAAUCAUAUAUUUAAAGGUUUAAGGUUCUUUAAAUUAGGUUUGGAGUAAUUGAAUUCUGUUUGGAAUUCCGAGCCUGGAAAUAGUCCCGUAUGGUGAUUUAAAACUUGCACGCAAAAUUUGGUGUCAUUCCGGGUAGUAUAAGUAUGAUUCGGCGUAUUCAGAGGAAUUUAGAAAUUUGAAGUUCAUAAAUUGAUCCAAUUCAGUUUUGGGGUGGGAUUCUUAGUUUCGUUGUUGAUUUACGUGUUUUGAGAGUUCGAGCAAGUCCGUGUUAUGUUUUCAGACUUGUUGGCGCAUUUGGACAGGGUUCCUAGGGGCUCGGGUGAGUUUUGAACCAUCCGGAGCUAAGUUGGAAAAACCAGAAUUUCCAGUUCUGGUUUCCUUCUUCGCGAACGCGGAAGGACCCUCGCGUUCGCGAAGAAGGAAAUGUGGGAACUAGGCAAUUUUCCAUCGCGUUCGCAUGGAGAGUGAAGCGUUCGCGAAGCCCAGGAUUUUUGGCCUACACAUUCGCGAAAGUCUACUCGCGUUCGUGAAGGAGGACUGGGGCCGGAGUGAAAUUACCCUACGCGUUCGCGAAGGAGCUCACGCGUUCGCAAAGAGUAGGCUAGUAAGCCUUCGCGUUCGCGAAGGGUAAAAUUUUAAGGCAGUGAAUUUUUCCUUCGCGAACGCGAGGCACUGACCGCGUUCGCGAAGAAGGGGUCAGCAGUGCUAGGCAGGAUGUCUUAAAAACGGGAUUUCAUCAUUUUUAACCCCAUUUCUUCCAUUCUUGGGCGAUUUUAAAGCUUUUUGAGAGAGGAUUUCAACUAGCAGCUUGAAGGUAAGUUAAUUCUACUCACUUUGAGUUAAAUAUAUAGAUUAUGGGUAGAUUAUAACCUGUAAAUCUUGGGAAUCAAUGGUUUAGAUGAAAAACCUAGGUUUUUACAAAAAUGAGAUUUUAACCACGAAAAUGGUUAUGGAAUUGGAUGAAAAUUAUAUAUUUGAGUUCUUGAGAUUAUGGGUAAUGAUUUCCUCCAAAAAUUACCGGAAUACGGGAAUGUGGGCCCGGGGUGAAUUUUAGGAAUUUUACCAAUUUAGGCUGGGUAAUUAAUUUAAUAGCCUAAUUUCGAAUUAUUGGGCAUGUAUUAAUUAUUUUAUAUAACAUUUGGAUAGUUUUGGAUUUUUCGGCACCGAAUUGGGAUUUUUUCACGACAUCGUGAUCGAAGUGGGCUUUGAGACAAGGUAAGUCUCUUGCCUAACCUUAUAAGAGGGAAUUUACCCCAUAGGUGAUUUAUAUUAAUAAUUGCUGCUAAUUGUGGGGGCUACAUACGCACGAGGUGACGAGAGUCUGUGCGUAGCUACUAAUUAUGUUAAUGUCCGGGUAGUUUAGGACUCAAAUCAUGAAUUACUUGUGAUAAUUGCUCCUUUUAUUUAAUUAAGUUGCUGGAAUUUUAUUGCAAAUUGUUUGAGAAAAUAGUAAAAGAUCGAAACUUCAUAUACUCGAAAUUUUGUGUAAAUUAUUGAAUUGUUAAUAGAUAUUGAACAUCCUACGUGUUAAUAUUAUAAUAAAUUCUCAUUCCGGAGGUUCAUAAGAAAAUGUCCUCCUUUCUUGUGGAGCGGGCCAAACGCUUCGGAAGUAUAGAUGCAUCUAUGGAUCGCGCCGCACGUCCCUCGGCAGUGUACACGAUACUCUGGAUCGGGCCGUAUGUUCUCGGCCGAAUCCGUGCCUAAUAAUAAUAAUUACACGAUAUCUUGAUACUAUGGAAUGGAAUUAAUUAUUUCUGCUUGUUUAGAAACUUAUUGUUGUUCAUCUAAAAAUCAUGUUUAAUUAAAUAUUUCUAUCGUAAUAUUAUUGACCCAUAGUGAGUGUCAAAAUCGACCUCUCAUCACUACUUCUUCGAGAUUAAGCUUGAUACUUACUAGGUACAUGUUGUUUACGUACUCAUGCUAUGCUUGCUAUACUUUUUGUGCAGGACCUGAGACAGGUACUAUCGGAGGACCUAUCGAAGCGCACCCACGUUAUCCAGAGGCUUAGUGGUGAGCUUCCUUUCUGAGCCGUUCUGCAACAACUAGUGCCUCUUCUUGUAUUUGUAUUCUGUCUAUUUUAUUUCAGACAGUAUUUAAAAUUUUUAAAAUCUACUAGAUGCUCAUAUACGCGAGACACCAGGUCUUGGCACUCACUAGUAGAAUUUUUGGAUUUAAUUAUUUUACUUGGGUUUUAAUUUAUCUUAUUUCUCACAUUGUCUUAAUUUUUGCAAGUACUCCAAGUUUUAUUACUCAGAUACUUUUUACAGAAAUGAAUAUAUGUUUAAAUUAUUAGUUGGCUUGCCUAGCUGGGAUGUUGAGCGCUAUCACGACCUAUAGGUGAAUUUGGGCCGUGACAGCCACCAGCUGUGCUUAUUGUGAUUCCAGGCCUUCAAGAGGCUUUGGCUCAGAUUUUGACUGUGUGCACUAGCCACGCUCAGGCAGUUUCUACUCAGACCGCGCCAGCCACUUCUUAGGCUGGGUGAGGUACUCAGACUCCCGCCGCCCGUACUCCAGAGCAUGUGAUGCAGGGACUUUAGACACCGGGGUAUUGCCAGCCCAGCCGGUUGCAGUUGCUCAGGCCUAGUCAGGUCCCGUUAUGAGUGAGGAUGAAUAGAAGGGACUUGAGAGGUUUGGGAGACUUCAGCCUCCAUCAUUCAGUGGGGCUUAGUCAGAUGAUGCUCAGGACUUCUUGGAUAGGUGUCAGUUGAUUCUUCAUACCGCGGGUAUUCUCAUGACCAGUGAGGUCUCGUUUACUGCUUUUCAGUUUACUGAGGAUGCCUUCAUAUGGUGGGAGGCCUAUGAGAGGAGCAGGACAGUCGGUGCUACACCACUUUCAUGGCAUGAGUCUUCGUUCUCUUCUUAGAAACGUUUGUGCCACCGACCCGUAGGGAAUGGCUGCGCAACUAGUUCGAGCAGCUACGUCAGGAUAGCCUGUCUAUGACCCAGUAUGAGAUGAGAUUUUCAAAGUUGGCUCAUCACGCGGUUUGGGUUGUUCCCACUGAGAGGGAGAGGAUUAGGAAGUUCAAUAAUGGCCUCACCUAUUAGUUGUGUUUUGCUUUGACUCGGGAAAGUGUAUCUGGUGCUCGGUUCGACGAGGUGGUUGAUAUUGCUCGGCAGCUAGAGAUGGUCCGUAGUUAGGAGCAUGAGGAGAGGGAGGCCAAGAGGCCUCAUAGAUUGGGUGGUUUCAGCAGUGUUUCUUCUAGGGUUCAGUUCUACUAUAGCAGGGGUCUUCCUUAUAGGCACGCCUAGAUGGCUUAUCCAAUUCAUCGCCGUGCAUCAUCCUGCCAUGGUUCAUACAGUGCUCGUCAUGGUCAGUCAUCUCUCAGUGCCCUUCCAGCUCCUACUAUCAGUUAACUCGGUACUUGGGGCCCCCUUCAGUCCCCACCAUCACCAUCGUGGAGUUUCUUCGAGUGCAGGGAGUUUUAUCAUAUGUGGAGACAGUAUCCUCAUUGCCCGGGAGGUCCACUGUAGAAGAGGAACCAGGCUGCGACUUCAGCACCAGUUACUUCACCACCCGCCCAACCAGCUUGAGGUAGGGCCCAGGCAGCUAGAGGUCUCCCUAGAGGGGGAGGCCAAUCAGGUGGCGGUCAUGCCUGAUUCUAUGCUAUCCCUGCCAGGCCAAAUGUUAUUGAUUUAGAUGCAAUGAUCACAGUUAUUGUCUCAGUAUGCCACAGGGAUGCUUCUGUAUUAUUUGACCCUGGUUCCACUUAUUUGUAUCUAUCAGCAUAUUCUGCUCAUUAUCUGGAUAUACCCCAUGAGUUCUUAGUCUUAUCUAUUCAUGUAUCUACGCCAGUGGGCAAUAUUAUUGUUGUGGACCGUAUAUAUCAGUCAUGUGUAGUGACUAUUGGGUGAUUGGAGGUUAGAUUUGAUCUCUUAUUGCUUAGUAUGGUUGAUUUCGACAAGAUCUUAGGUAUGGAUUGGUUGUCUCCAUGUCAUGCUAUGCUGGAUUGUCACGCUAAGACCGUGACAUUGGCAAUGCCGGGUUUUCCAAGGAUCGGGUGGAGAGGUUCUCUAGAUUAUGUUCCCAACAGGGUGAUUUCUUAUUUAAAGGCCCGAUGGAUGGUUGGGAAGGGUUGUUUAUCUUAUUUUUCCUUUGUGAGGGAUGUUGGUGCUGAUACCUCUACUAUUGAUUCUGUUCCGGUAGUGCGAGACUUUCUGGAUGUAUUUCCUGCAGACCUGCCUGGCAUGCUGCCUGAUAGGGAUAUUGACUUUGGUAUUGACUUGGUUCGAGUACUCAUCCCAUUUAUAUUCCUCCAUAUCGUAAGGCACCGGCUGAGUUGAAGGAAUUGAAAGAGUAGCUUCAGGAACUUCUUAAUAAAGGGGUUUAUUAGGCUUAGUGUGUCUCCAUGGGGUGCAUCGGUUCUAUUUGUGAAGAAAAAGGAUAGUACUAUGUGGAUGUGCAUCGACUAUAAACAGUUGAACAAAGUUACAAUCAUGAACAAUUAUCUGUUACUGCGUAUUGAUGAUCUAUUUGACUAGCUUCAGAGAGUGAGGAUGUUCUCUUAGAUUGAUUUGAGGUAUGGGUAUCACCAGUUGAAGAUUCAGAACUUGGAUAUUCUGAAGACAGCAUUCAGGAUCCGUUAUGGUCAUUACGAGUUCCUUGUGAUGUCUUUUGGGCUGGCCAACNNNNNNNNNNNNNNNNNNNNAGCAUGCCCAACAUUUGAGGAUUAUGUUGCAUCAGUUGAGGGAGGAGAAGCUUUAUGCCAAGUUCUCCAAGUGUGAAUUUUGGAUUAGUUCGGUGGCGUUCUUGGGGCACGUGGUGUCCAGUGAGGGUAUUCAGGUGGAUCCAAAGGAGAUAGAGGCGGUUUAGAGUUGGCCCAGGUCGUCCUCAACUACUGAGAUUCGAAGCUUUCUCGGCUUGGCUGGUUAUUAUCGUCGCUUCGUGGAGGAUUUCUCGUCAGUUGCAUUGCCUUUGACCAAAAUGACUUAGAAGGGUGCUACUUUCAGGUAGUCGGAUGAGUGUGAGGAGAACUUUCAGAAUCUCAAGACAGCCUUGACCACAGCUCCAGGUCUAGUUUUGCCUUCAGCUUCAGGUUCUUAUACAGUGUAUUGUGAUGCUUCUCGGAUCGGUAUUGGGUAUUUCUUGAUGCAACAGGGUAGAGUGAUUGCUUAUGCUUCGCGUCAGUUGAAGCCUCAUGAGAAAAACUACCCCGUCCACGAUUUGGAGUUGGUUGUCAUCGUUCAUGCAUUGAAGAUUUGGAGGCAUUAUCUUUACCGUGUGUCUUAUGAGGUAUUUAUGGAUCAUAGGAGUCUCCAGCACUUGUUCAAAAAAAGGAUCUAAAUUUGAGGCAGCAAAGAUGGUUAGAGCUGCUAAAAGACUAUGAUAUUACUAUUCUGUAUCAUCCCGGGAAGGCCAAUGUGGUGGCCGAUGCCUUGAGUAGGAAGGCGAUGAGUAUGGGUAGCCUUGCAUUUAUUCCUAUUGGUGAGAGAUCGCUUGUAGUUAAUGUACAUGCCUUUGCCAACCAGUUCGUGAGAUUAGAUGUUUCGGAGCCCAGUCAGGUUCUAGCUUGUGUGGUAUCUCAUUCUUCCUUACAUGAUCGCAUUAGAGAACGCCAGCAUAAUGAUCCUCAUUUGCUUGUCCUUAAGGACACGGUUUAGCACGGUGAUGCCAAGGAUGUUACUAUCGGGGAUGAUAGGGGUGUUAAGGAUGCAGGGUCGGAGUUGUUUGCCCAAUUGAGAUGCGCUACGUGAGUUGAUUCUUGAGGAGGCCCACAGUUUACGGUAUUCCAUUCAUCCGGGUGCCGCGAAGAUGUACCAGGACUUAAGGCAGAACUAUUGGUGGAGGAGAUUGAAUAAGGAUAUAGUGAGGUAUGUAGAAUUUUCAGCAAGUGAAGUAUGAGCAUCAGAUACUGGGCAGAUUGCUUCAGAGGCUUGAUAUUCCAGAGUGGAAAUGGGAGCGAAUCACCCUGGAUUUUGUAGUUGGACUCCCACGGACUUCGGGGAAGUUUGAUGCUAUUUGGGUGAUUAUGGAUCGGCUGACCAAGUCCGCGCACUUCAUUCCAGUUGGGACUACUUAUUGUUCAGAGCAGUUGACUGAGAUUUACAUCUGCAAGAUUGUUCGCCUUCACGGUGUGCCGGUGUCCAUCAUUUCAGCACGCAGUUUACAUCGCAGUUAUGAAGGGCAGUGCAGCAUGAGUUGGGGACCCAGGUUGAGUUAAGUAUAACAUUUCACCCUCAGAUGGACGGACAGUCAGAACGCACUAUUCAAAUAUUGGAGGACAUGAUACAUGCUUGUGUCAUUGAUUUUGGGGGUUCUUGGGAUCAGUUUUGCCGCUCGUGGAGUUUGCCUACAACAACAGCUACCAGUCAAGCAUUCAGAUGGCUCCACAUGAGGCUUUAUAUAGGAGACGGUGUCAAUCUCCGGUGGGUUUGUUUAAGCCGGGUGAGGCUAGGCUAUUGUGUACUGACUUGGUUCAGGAUGCUUUGGAGAAUGUUAAAUUGAUUCAGGAUCGGCUUCGCACGGCGCAGUCUAGACAGAAGAGUUACACCGAUAGGAAGGUUCGUGAUGUUGCUUUUAUGGUUGGGGAGAAGGUACUGCUCAAGGUGUCACCCAUGAAGGGUGUUAUGAGGUUCGGGAAGAAGGGCAAGUUGAGCCCUCAGUAUAUUGGGCCGUUUGAGGUACUUCAGAGGAUUGGAGAGGUGAUUUACAAGCUUGCCUUACCACCUAGUUUGUUGAGUGUGCAUCCAGUAUUUCAUGUUUCUAUGUUCCGGAAUUAUGUCGGCAAUCUGUCUCAUGUUUUGGAUUUUAGCACGGUUCAGUUGGAUGGUGAAUUGACUUAUGAUGUGGAGCCGGUGGCCAUUUUGUAUCGGCAGGUUCAAAAGUUGAAGUCAAAAGACGUAGCUUCAGUGAAGGUGUGGUGGAGAGGUCAGCCAGUUGAGGAGGCUAAUUGGGAGACCGAGUGGGAUAUGCGGAACAGAUAUCCGCGCCUAUUUGAGACUCCAGGUACGUUUUAAGACCUGUUCGAGGACGAACGUUUAUUUAAGAGAAGGAGGAUGUAACGACUCGGCCAUGCAUUUUGGGAGUUGUAGCCUCGUUCACCCAUUUACUGUUCAGUUUAUGCUUUAUAGCUGCUAUGCGACUUUUCGGGGUAGUUGGUUCGAGUCUGGAGAGGGUUCGGAACGAAUUGAGAUACUUGGUCUCAAGGUUGAAAGCUUAAGUUGAAAUGGUUGACCGGAUGUUGACUUGUGUGUAAACGACUUCGGAAUAGAGUUUUGAUGGUUCCGUUAGCUCCAUUGGGUGAUUUAGGACUUAGGAGUGUGUCCGAAUUGUGAUUUAGAGGUCUAUAGUUGAAUUACGGUUUGAGUAGGUCUGUGGUGUCAUUUGUGACUUGUGUGCAAAAUUUGAGGUCAAUCGGACGUGAUUUGAUAGGUUUCAACAUUGUUUGUAGUAGUUGGAAUUCCUUAGUUUCAAUAGGCUUGAAUUGGUGUGCGCUUCAUGGUUUUAGCAUUAUUUGAUGUGAUUUGAAGGCUCGAAUAAGUUCGUGUUGUGUUUUAGAACUUUUUGAUAUACUUAGUUGAGGUCCCGGGGGCCUCAGGUGGAGUUCGGAUGAAUUUCGGAUCAAGUUUGGGGUUAAAUGGGUAAUGUAGCUGAAGCCUUCUGGUGUAAUCGCACCUGCGGAGCAUUGGUCGCAGGUGUGAACUCGCAAGUGCGGGCUGGGAAGCACAAAAGCGACCUAGGACGGAGGUGUGCAGUGGUCGGAGGUGCGAGGCAAUUUUCGCACCUGUGUGGUUGCAGAUGCGGCGUGAUGGGCGCAGAAGCGGAGUUGGCCAGUGGGGGAGUUUGCGCAGGUGCAGUGGAAAUUUCGCACCUACGAUUGCGCAGAUGCGGAGGCAGGACCGCAAAAGCAAAAGGGAGCCUUAGGGCAUGUACGUUGAAGCUAAGGAGUUUCCACAAAAGAGGAACCGUAGGUGCGGUUAAGUUUCCGUAGCAGCGAAAAGACUGGACAGAACUUUAAAAUAAGGGUUUCGUGGUUUUCUUCAUUUUGAACAUGCCAAGCUCGGGAUUUGGUGAUUUUUGAGGGGUUUCUUAAGGUUAGUCACUUGUGGUUAAAUUUGUUCAAUAAUUAUGUUUUCCAAUUGAAUUCCCCACCUACAUUGUGUGGUUUUGAGGUGUAAUUUGGGAGUUUGAGGCUAGAAAUUUGGAGGGUUUAAAUUGGGGGUUUGGGUGUCGAUUUGGUGUUGGAUUUUGGUAAAGUUGGUAUGGUUGGACUCGGGGUUGAAUGGGCUUCCGGAUUUUGUGACUUUUAUUGGAUUCCGAGACGUGGGCCCAGGGGCCAGCUUUUGAGUCGACUUUUUGACUUUUGAUUAAUAACUUAGUAUAUUCUUAUGGGAUUGAUUCCUUUAGCUCGUGUUGAUUGUAUCGAACUGUUUGUGGCAAGAUUCGAGUCAUUUGGAGGACGAUUCGUGAGGCUAGGGCGUGUUGGAGUAGGGAUUUGUACGGCUUAAGGUAAGUAACAGUUCUAAACUUGGUUCUAAGGGUAUGAAACCCCAAAUUACGUGUCAAGUAAUUGGUAUUGAGGUGACGCACUUGCUAGGUGACGGGCGUGUGGGCGUGCAUAAUAGUAAUUGUGACUUAGGCAAUUCCAUGGAAUUGUAUAGUUGAAUAAUCUGUUGUUAUCCGUAUAUUCUCCAUGUGUUAUAGAAAUGGAACUGCAAAUCGUGUUAGAAAUCAUGCUUAGGCUAUGUGUUGAUACUGUAGGGACCCACAGAGGUCGUGUUACAUGUUGAAUUAUCUACUAAAUUGCCACUUUGUACUCAUUCACAGUUUUUACUUGCAUAUUAUAUCUCAGUCUCUGUUGUUCUUUAUUGAUACAUUAUAUCAUCGCUGGUUGGGCUGAUUAUCAUGAUUAUUGAGAGAUCGAGAGACUGGAGAGAUUGAUGACUGAGUGAGGCCGAGGGCCUGAUUGUGUGGAUAUUUAUUGGGAUCGGGUUGCAUGCCGCAACAUGUUUUAUUGAUCAAUACUACGAUUGGCUUAUUAUAGCGCUUGGGCUGAAGGAUGCCCUACGGAGUCUACACAUCAACGGUGAGCGCAGGUACUUACUGAGUGUGAGUGCGAGUGCGAGUGCUGAGCGCGAGUAUCGAGUGACUGGGAGAAUUGAGAGACUGUGAGGAAUGAGUGACAGUGAGGAUGGAGUGAAUGGGAGAACUGAGUGACUGUUAUUCUGAGAUUAUGCACUUGAUUUCAUUACUGUUGUACUUCAGCUGGCAUAUAUCACUGUCAUUUAGUCUCUGAGAGAUACUAUAUACUAUUUCGAUUUAACUUGACAUGAAUUUACUGUUUUGGCUUUAAAUGUCGAACUUGAAAGCAUGCCUAUUUUUCCUGUAUUAUAUUUUUUGUAAUUGAACUGUAUCCUUGAAGCUCGUCACUGCUUUCAGUCCAAUAGUUAAUCUUGUUACGUACUGAGUUGGUUGUAUUCACGAUACACCCUGCACUUUGUGUGCAGGUCCAGGUGUUUCCGGACACGGUGGGUGUUGAUUAUCUGAGCAUCUUGAACAUUCGAAGAUUUCAAGGUAGCUUCCCGGCACAGACUUUUACUCUCCUUCCCUAUCUUUCAGUUUUAUGUAUUUAGUUUCAUUUUUUUUCAUAGACAGUAUUACCAGACUUGUGUUGUAUAGACGCUCAUGUACUUGGUGACACCCUGGUUUUGGGAACUUCUGUAUUGAGUUCUGACUUUCUAUCCAGUUUAUGAGAGUUUUAAUUAUUUAAACCUGUGCUAUUUUAUUCUUCCUUUAAAAGUGUUGGAAAUGUUUUGAGGUGUCGGUUUGCCUAGUACCAUAUUAAGCGCCAUCACGAUAGGCUAAAUUUUGGGUCGUGACAUGUUCGGGACAAUUUCCUUUUGAGAUACCUAACGUAUUCUUCCAACACGUAAUAUUAUUAACAAAUUAUUAUUACAACCCAUGACCUUCAGCAGUAACGUAAUAAGCUCUCUCAUUAGGAGCUCACAGUACUUACUGUGCACUUUGCUGUCAAACUUAAACAAAAAGGAUGAAGUGAUCCAUUAUUUAAUCAGAAAUUGUAAAAACAUAAAUCAUUUUAAGCUAAUUAUAUUCAUCAACUAUGUGUCUGCUAUUUUGUUGGAUUUUUUUAAUCAAAGUAAUUAAGUAAAUGCAAGCUCAAUAUAAUCAAGCAUACAUAUAAAAAAUCCCCCCCCCCCCACCAAAAUCUAAAAAUUCACUCAAUUUAAAGCUUUAUGAAGAGUUUGGACAAUCCGAGUAUCAAACAUCAAAAUCAGAGAAGAUAAGAGAAAUUAAUGGGACGCCUUUUUCAAUACGAAAUUAUUUGUUGGGUCAGAGGAUUGGAGUUUUGCGCCGCCCAUGGGGUCAAAUGGGGGGACCAAAUUGGGCUCUAAAUUCCAAGUGCCGUCAUCCCAAAGUCAUAGGUGAAACUUGACACUAGCCUUCCAAGCAAUCGUGAAAAUAUUUAAACUAAUAAAAUUGUACUUAUCACCUAAUUUUAUUAUUAUUGAAACUUGAUCUUUAAUUGAAUUAAGUUCGAAAAUCACUUAGGGUCUGUUUGGAAAGCCACCCGAUAAUUGAAAUUAUUGUAAUUAUUUACCCGUAAAACGGUACAGUUAAAUUUAUACGUGAUUUCUAGACAAGUGAAUUAAUUCAAUCGUGAAAUAAUAAAAAAAAUGAAGAAGUAUACAAUACUUAGCCUUGAGAUGAAGAUUAAAUAGCAGAUACAGUAGUUGCGGGAGCAAGGCUUCCGGGCACAACAAUAACAAAAUCAAAAAGUAAGAAAGUAAAAUUAUAUAAAGUUUUGAAUGGUUCAUGCGAGGGUUCAUCUCCGUCAUAAACCAUAAGAGUUCGCUUUUGAAGGGAUCGCUCUCGUUGUUGUGACCAGACCCACUCCCCCAGCCUCAUCAAAGCCGACCUCACCCCUCGGGGUGUUGUUGUCGACCAUUUGCUUUGUUUGAUUAGCGGGAGCACCGGGAGGAACUGGACGUCGUCCAUUCGUGUUAUUGGAAGCACCCGACAACGCCUGCUUCAGUUCUGUCAUAACCUUAUUAUGUCGUGUGAGAUGACCUAAAAUGACCUCUUGUUGUUCCUGCAGGACCCUUACUGCUUCAACAACAUGCUCCUCUUCAGCAUCAUCGGGAGUCACCUCACGAACAUGUCGCGGGUACGGCCUGCCAUGGACCGACGUGGAAUCGUUUUUCCCAUUGCGGGUAUCACUGAUUGAAUCCUCGUGCUGAGGCUGGUCUCUUUGGGUCUCAAGAUUGUGUGUGUUGUUAAUACCAUUAUCUGCCAUUUUUGUGAUUUUUACUAAGAACGGAUAAACAAAACACGUUAGUAAAAAAGGCAAGGAUCAACUUAAUUACACGAUUGUCUAGGCCCCACGGUGGGAGUCAAACUGUUUACCCGUAAAACGGUACAAUUGAAUUUAUAUGUGGUUUCUAGACAAGUGAAUUAAUUCGAUCCUGAAAUAAUAAAAGAAUUGAAGAAAUAUGCAAUACUUAGCCUUGAGAUCAAGAUGAAAUAGCAGAAACAGUAGUUCCGGGAGCAAGGUUAUAAAGCUUUGAAUGGAUUAUAGCAUAAGUUUGCCAGAAUAUUCGUGUCCUUUGCAAUGAUAACAUAGCUCCCUAUUUAUAGUUGCACCUAGGGACCAAGGUCCUAGGAUCAUACCCUUCUUUAAUGUCAAUUAUAAGGGUCAUUGAAGAAUGUGUAACGGUGAGCAUGAAUGAAAAUAUUUUUGUAACGGGUAGUGUAUUAAAUGUUGCAAAAUAUUCUCCAUUAAAUGAUACCGAGUGUGGCAGGAAUUUAUUGUAUCUUUAUGAGCAUCAUUAUUUCCGGUAAGAAAUGGAACAAUUGUCUUCGGUCUUAGCUAUCCUCUGUCAUCGGUUUCACGUGUCAUGCAAUUACUUAACAUAGCAUAUUUUAGCUAUACAGAUAGUCCCCCUGCUUUCCGGUGACAUAACUUUGUGUCAUCGGGAAGUUGGUAUAUACAUUCUUUUUGGCGAGAAUUUCUCUGACCCUCUCUGAAAAGCUUCUGAUAGUUGAUUAGACGCACGUCUCUCUGCAUUUAAUGCCUCGAACACGCGUCAUCCCAUGAUUCAGCGUAACCUUUGUCGGUUAUCGAGGUAAUUAUGGCCACGAGUUUAGCCGCCUAAACCUUUACUUAUACGCAUCUACUUCCUUAAUUUUACACUUCAUAACAUUUGGAAUUUUCUAAGACUUUCUUUACUCAACUCGUCUUCCGAAUUCAACCUUUCUUCAACUUCCUUCUUUGAGAGAAAAAACUCUUUUACUGAUAAGAAAUGGCCUCUUCUUCAAGAAAACCUAGUUCUUCAAAGAAUAAAGGCAAAGCUGACGAUAUUGCUCCCUCUACGGUGAGUACCAUUGUCCCAAUGAACCUAAUUAACACCAAAGAUUUCUAAGAGAAGUUUCCUUCUGCUAACUCUCCUACGUGGGCCGUUGGCAGAUACCCUUCUUCCAUCCGUCCUUCCAGUAUUCCUGUUGUGAAGGAAGAUUGUCGUUACCAGGAUUUAGACAUUAUCGCUCCUCAUCUGGCGGAGCAGUAACCCUACCCAAGGAGGAUUUUAUAUACUUUUACAUGUAUCCCUUUACUUUGGGAACGUUUUCUCUAAGUGGAGAGCUUGAUUCCGUUAUUGUGGAGUUCUAUCUACGCUAUCAGGUGUGUUUGGAUCAAGUAAGUCCCUCUGUGUGGAGGACUAUUGCUUGUUUUUGGUGCAUGUGCCAAGACACGGGAGAGGAACUAUCUUUAGCUCACGUGAUGAACCUCUAUUCCACCAGAAUCUUCCGUGGCGAAAUGAUAAAGUUCAGCAAACGCGGCCACCAUGCCCUGCUAUCUAGCAUGGAUGAUGACAACGAUUGUGGGAGGAUGGAAUGGUUCUUUGCAGUCGCCACCAGUGAUAUCAUUUCGGCAACGGCUUCAUCCUUUCCAGAAUCAUGGAAUCGCACUCGUAAGUUCUUUGUUUAAUAUUUCUUUCAUUAAAAGUUUUUGCAUAUCUUUAUCGACCCUCCUUUUUUUGCCUGUUUCAGCAACUCAAUGGGUUCCACCUAGGGUUGAAGGCUUGGACUAGUGGGUCCAGAAAAUCCUAGAUGUUACUAUGCCCGAAACCCGUAUGUGGAAAGAACUGGCCCUUAAAUACGGGUGGAAGCCUAAAAAUCAUGGUAACUUAGACUCAUCUCGUCUUUGUUUUUUGUGUGAGGAAAUUAAUUAAUCCUUUCUCUUUUUGCCAAAUUCAGGUAUACCCCCGGGCUCGGUUGUCGUCCUCGGGGAGGACAUUUUGGCUGAUCCUGCUGAUGUGGCGAGGCUGCUUCUGGAGACUCUUACUCGAACAGGUGUCUCUGGGCCUGCUUCGGGUGCAUGUAUUUCUUCUCGAAGUCCUAGGUCGUAGGACAAGCAACCAAAAAGAAAGAGCUCCUCCGUGGCUGGGGGAAAGAAUAAGAGGGCGAAGAAUGCCGCCCCCGAGUCAUCUCCGAAAGUUUGGGUGACAAACCCUCCGUCCGGGCCGGCCAUAGACAUCGUGAUGAUGGAGAAUCUAGUAAUGAGGGAGCUUCUCUACAUAGAAGACGAAGAUCCUCAUCAACUCAACAGAAUGCUCAACCUGUUGAGUUAGUUACACCAAAUGAGGACGAUGUCUCGGAACUUUGGGGGGGAGUUUGAGAGGGUAUAAAAUGCAAACCCUCGUUGCCCAAUCCCAGUCGCUGCGUCCGGUACCGUAAGGCUGAGUACUGGGCCCCUGCCGUCUUCGCUUGAUGAGUAACCAACAACUAGCACUACAUUUACCGUAGCUGCUUCUCACCCUUCAACGCCAUCAACUUCAUUACCCUCUUCACUCAUUCUUCCAUCAGCAACUACUACAUCAUCUCCACCGGCCGCAUCUGUUCGAGAAGAGGAUGUUCCUCUACCCCAGUCCCCAGUUCAUGGGAAUUUGUGGCAAAAUUAUGCCGCCUCCUUUGAAAAUCCUCAAAGGAGGAGGAGCGUUACACUCUCGGUCUCCACCGGUUUCAACCUGUUAUCCCAGCCGGUGGAACUUGCUAACUACCUGAAGUGUUUGGCUUCAGAAAAAGAUUGGAAAAAGAUACAUGCUCUCUUGGGAGAGUGCUUGUCGAAUAAUGUCAUGCACAACGUCACAGCGGUAUAUUCUUCAUUUCCUUUGUCAUUUUUUCUAUCUUUGAUUUAGUAUUAUUUUUGAAUUUGCCUUUCUUGUUUCGCAGGCCAAUUUUCUUCCUUCUGAGGGCCUUCGGAGGUUGAUUUAGGAAAGGAGGAACUUACCUCCGAGCGGGAUCAACUUUUGGUCGAGCAUGACCAAACUCCAGCUCGCCUCUCAAAAUUGGAAGCCAAAGAUACUGAAGAUGUUGUGUUGGAGACUCGUUUGCAGCAAAGCAAGCAAGAAGUAGAAACCCUUAGCCAAGAGAUUACGCUGCUGGGGGUUCAAUUUAAAGAGGCCAAGGCCAAAUGUGCUGAAGUCCAUAGUGUCAUUCUUGUUGCAUACAAUCGCAAGGCUGCCUCCGCUGAGAGAUUGACUAACUUAGAGGCAGCCUUGAACUCCAAACUGAAGAGCUUGCUAUUGCGGGGGUGAAAUAUGCCCAAUUGGAGGAGAAGUAUAAGAAGACUAUUGAGCAUAAUAUAAUUUUCACCUCUAGUGUCUGCGAACUCGACGUUAGCCUCAAAUCCAUUAGAUCCGCCCUGGAAAAUCUUUCUGUCGAGGCUAAACAACUUAAAGAAGAACUCAAGCACCGAGGAACUUCCCUCGUUGUUGAAAAAACUUACAUCAUACACAACAUGAGGAGAAAAACCUUGGAAGAGGCCAAGGCAGGUAUCAUUGACUUUGAUGUCGAAAUUGCUAAAGCCUGUGAGCUAGAGUCAGCUGCUAAAAGGGGUCUCCCAGUAGGGCCUGAUUCUUUUGAUUCUUCUAGUUCCGGUUCUGAAACCUCGGGAACUGAAGAGGAAUCGGAGGGCGAAGAUGUUGAAGGCCAAACUGAUGAGGACCAAGAUGUUGAGCCAUCAUCGGAUCUAGCCACUUCCCCCGGGGGCGCGGACGCUUCUCUUCCUCUGGGUUCCAAAGAUGCAGCACUUUAUCUUUUCCUUUCUUUUCCCAACUUUUGUACCUGUGUCAUUUUGGCAUGUUUGCUGUAAAUAAAAAUAUAUUUUGCUCAAGUAUUGCAUGAGUCUUUCUGCAAUCUUUCGUUUGAACAUUUAUGCAAGAUUUAAUCUUUGUAUUCUUUUUUGCUUAAGUGUUUUGCGCAAGUUUUACUGUUUGCAUUUAAUUAUGUAUGGUCUUGGGUGUAUUUUUUCCCAAAAAGCAUUUGGAUUUCAGGCACAAGUUCUUCCGAAAUCAACCCUUUAUCGUGAGGGUUUUUAUAAGAGAGGGCCCUCUUAUGUUUACGGUGCUCUUGAAGAAGACGUCUCAUAUUUAUUACGGCACUAGCAUUUGAAGUACUUGUUUAACUUUCAAAUGAUAAAAUCAAUCCAUCGUUAACAAGAAACAAGAUAGAAAUAAAAGAACUUUACUUUAUUCCUUCCAUUUUUAAAAAGUAGAUAAGCAUUCAUUAUGCUAAAAAGAAACUGCCAUUUCUUGUGGAUCUAAUGGAUCUACGAGAAAAAGCAUCUACGAGGCUGGUUGCGCAAUCCCUGGUCCUGAUGAUACAACUAUGUUUCUGAUUUUCGUAUUCCAGUUGACGUGGCAGUCAUUGUUGUCGUAUCCUCAUAUCAAUCCACCCCCCAGUGUUCGAAUGCGAAGGAAGAGAAUUGGAACACUGGAAGUUUUGCAUCUUCGAGGAUUCCACUAAUCAAUUGCUAGAUAAUAUUUAGUUUGGUAACAAACUUCACUUCCCGUUAGAAAUUUAUGCUAUCGAGCCAAAGACUAUCUAACAAUCCUCUAGUGGUUUACAGUUGUGAAUGGUCGAGUAACCUUUGCUUGAUAGCAAACUUAAUUUCCCUGUGGGAAUUUUGCUACCAAGCCAAAGAUUAUCUAACUUCUCUGGUGUGGUUCUUCGCUUGUGUGCCUUGUUAUUAAAGGUGUUAUUGAUUUUGUUGAAACCUUUUUCGUAGUAUGCAUUCUGUUGCUGCCUCGUAAAAAACCUUGCCAGAAAAAUCCAAUUGCGACAAAAACUGGACGAAGGAAAAAAGAGUGCAGCACAUACUUUCAGUACAGGUGAUGUUCAUCAGCAAUAAUAUCUCUUGAGGUGUUCCACAUUCCAGUUGCUUGGCAAUGUUUCUCCAUCCCGAUUCUCCAACUCGUACGAACCUUUCCUAGUGAUAGCUGAAACCUAGUAGGGGCCUUCCCAAGUUAGACCUAGCUUCCCUGCGUUGAGUUCCCCAGUGUUUUGUGUUACUAUCCUUAGAACCAAGUCCCCUACUUUGAAAUAAUGGAGGUUGGCUCUUCGAUUAUAAUAUCUUAUCAUUCUUUGCUUUUGGGCUGCCAUUCUUAUAUAUGCCAAGGCACUGCGCUCAUCGAGUAACUCCAAGUUUAUUAACAUUGCUUCGUUGUUUUUCUCUUCAUUUGCUUGGAAAUUUCUCAAGGUAGGCUCCCCUACUUCCACAAGGAUUAAGGCUUCUACUCCGUACACAAGGGAAAAAGAAGUUUCUCAUGUACUUGAUUUGGUCGUUGUUCGGUACGCCCAUAGCACUCCAGGCAGUUCCUCAGGCCAUUUACCUUUGGCCGCUUCCAACCUCAUCUUGUGAUUUUGUAUAAUCAAUUUGUUCGUUGAUUCCACUUGACCAUUUGCGCUCGGAUGAUAGGGCAAAGAUGUGAUUCUUUUGAUUUUAAAGUCUUCAAGAAAUUUUGUGAUCUUUGCGCCUAUAAACUUUGGCCCAUUAUCGCAUGCUAUCUCUUUUGGUAUUCCAAAUCUGCAAAUUAUGCUCUCCCAUAAGAAAUCCACCACCUCACAUUCGCCGAUCUUCUGAUAAGGACCUGCUUUAACCCACUUAGAAAAAUAGUUAGUUAAAAUUAAAAUAAAUCUUAUCUUACCAGGGGUCGGCGACAGUAGUCUGGCGAUAUCCAUUCCCCACUUCAUGAACGCCCAUGGAGAAAGAACUGAGUGUAAUAGUUCUGCUGGUUGAUAUACCAGUGGUGAGUAGCGUUGACACUUAUCGCAUUUUUGCAUGAAAGUAAUGGUGUCUUGUUCCAUUCGAGGCCAAUAGUAUUAUGCCCUUACUAGUUUUAGUACUAAGGAGUUUGCGCCCGAAUGAUUUCCACAUAUCCCUUCAUGGAAUUCUCGCAUAACAUAAUUAGCUUUGGAGGCUCCGAAGCAUCGGGCCAGCGGGCCUUGAAACGUUUCCAGUACAAUUGGCCUCCUUUGAAGCUAUAUCGCGCUGCUUUGGCGCACACCGCCCGAGAUGCCUUGGAGUCUCCAGGCAACUUCCUGUGUUCGAGAUAAUCAAUGAUCUCAUUCCUACAGUCCUAGACCAAAUUAGUAAUAUUCACCUUAUAGUAGCUAUCUGCGUCCAGAAUCGAGUGCAUGAGCUGCAUUACCAUCUCGUUACCUGAUCCCUUCAUUUCUAUUGAUGAACCGAGGUUGGCUAGUGCAUCCACUUAUGCGUUUUCUUUCUUGGGAUAUGCGUAAUUGACCACUCCAGGAAUCAAGCAAGCAGAGCCUAAACCUUCACCACGUAUUGUUGCAUGCGCUCGUCUUUGGUUUCGAAGAUCCCGUAGACCUGAUUUACCACCAGCUGGGAAUCGCAUUUGACUUCUAUGAUCUCGGAAUCUAGUCCCCUAGCCAAUUCGAGUCUAGCAAUCAAAGCUUCAUACUAUUCUUCGUUGUUAGUCAAAGGGACCGUUCUUAUGGCCUGUCUUAGGGUUUCUCCUGAAGGUGUGGUUAAUACUAUGCCAAGUCCGGACCCCUUUACGUUGGAAGCUUCAUCCGUAAAUAAGGUCCAAACUCUCGAUGUCGAUUCUGACACUAUCACUACUUCUUUGGUUGCUAGAGACAGCAAUCUCGGACUGAAAUCGGCCACAAAGGAGGCCAAAACUUGUGACUUAAUCGCGGUCUUAGGUUUAUACUCUAUGUUGAAUUCACUCAUUUCGACGGCCCAUUUGGCCAAUCUACCCGAGAGUUCGGGUUUGUGAAGGAUAUUCUGCAGGGGAAAGGUAGACACUAUAGCGAUCAGGUGACAUUAGAAGUUAGGCCCUAGUUUCCGAGCGGCGACUACGAGAGCUAAGGCCAACUUCUCCAAAUACGAGUAGCAAGUUUUUGCUCCCGUUACCUCUUCUUCGACUUUAUUCCUGGCCUCCGCAAUUGGGCGUUUCUUUUGUCUUACCGGAGGGAUGCUGGGAUCCAAGCUUAACUUGUGUACGGUCACUUUUGUUGGGAUACCUAUCAUAUCUGCAUGCGACCAUACAAAAUAAUCGGCAUUAUACUUAAGAAAUUCAAUAAAUCCAGACCUGAGCUCGGGCUGCAGUCCUGUCCCCAAGUGGAAUUUCCUUUCCAACAACUUUUCAAACAAUGCAACUUGCUCGAGCUCUUCCGUUGAGGACUUCGUUAUGUCCGUCUCUUCUGGUACCUGGAAAUAUCUUGGCACCUGAUAAGAUUCCGACGCUUCUUCCCCCUAGUUAACUUCACUUGAUCCGGGAGCAGGCGUCGGUUCCUGUAAUUUCUAUGUCGCAUGUUCCUUCCCUUUGAUACUUGAGACUGAAAUUGCAUCCAUCUCCCUUGCCACCAGUUGGUCAUCUAUUAUCUGUUUUAUCCCUUCGGGAGUUGAGAAUUUCAGCAACUAAUGCUAUGUUGAUGGUACGGCUCUCAUCUCAUGCAACCAUAGUCUUCCCAUCAUAAUGUUAUAACCCAUAUCAACGUCAACAACCUCAAAAAUGGUUGUCUUUAUCACCCCCUCGACAUUUGUGGGCAGCAAGAUCUCUCCUCGGGUCGUUACGCUGGCGAGGUUGAACCCGGCGAGGAGUUUUGUGGCCAGAAUAAUGCUUCUGUUAAGUUUGGCUUGCUCCAAUACCCUCCAUUGUAUGAUAUUUGCCGAACUUUCUAGAUCCACCAUAACACGUUAUUUUAGAAUCUAAUAUAUUUAGAGAAAGUACCAAUGUGUCGUUGUGCGGUAGCAACAAUCCGUCUGUGUCCUCCUCCAUGAAAGUGAUGUCGUCUUCAGCGACUUCCCAAAAUCUCUUGAUGUGGGUUACUGAUACCUCCAUCUUUUUUGCUACCGAGAAGGUAACCCCGUUGUUGUUCCCCCAAAAAAUCAUGUUGAUCGUCUAGUGCGAGGUCUUCCCCUAUUUUCGAGGGCUCUGCAUUAUCACGGUUGCGACCAUAAUUGUUCUUGGCCCGGUCACUUAAUAAUUCCCUGAUAUGGCCAUUUUUUAGUAACGCCGCCGCCUCUUCAUGCAGAUGCUGACAGUCCCCAGUCCGAUGGUCAUUCGUCUCGUGGUACUCGCACCACAAAUUAGGGUCCCUCUGGCUGGGAUCGGACCUCAUCGGCUUCGGAAACCCUGCUUAUUUAAUGUUCUUCAUAGUCGAUACCAACUCUACCACACUGAUAUUAAAGUUGUAUUCUGAUAGCCUGGGAUAGGAAGGAUCCUGAGAACCUGACGUUUCUUUGUCCUGCAAUGAUCUGUUACUCCGACCGUGAUUAAUUCUUCUAUCGGUAACGAACUUGUCUGCUUACCAAAAACCUAUGCCACAUCUUUUAGCCCGUUCGUAGGGCAAAAACUAGCUCCUCGAAGACUGUCUAUCUGUGUCAAAAUCAUCUUUUGAUUUUUCUUUAUUCUUCUCCUGACCUUUUGUCGACGCUGGGAAGCCAAUCUGAUAAUCUUCGAUCCUUAUCUUGGACUCAUAUCGGUUGUGAACAUCCGCCCAAGUCGUCCCUUAGAACUCAAGCAAGCUUUUCUACAAUUUCUAGGAAGCAUCAGAACUUCUCGGAUUCGAACCCUUGGUGAAUGCUUCAGCCUCCCAUUUAUCCGGAAUAGCUGGGAGCAACAUUCUUUCCUUUUGGAACCGGGUGACGAAUUCCCGCAGCAACUCGGCCUCUCCUUGUGCAAUUCUGAAUAUGUCCGUUGUUAGGUCCUGCACCUUUCUGGCUCCGGCAUGGGACUUAAUAAAAAAAAUAUGGGAGCAUCUCAAAUGAAUCUAUGGAAUGUUCGGGCAACAGUGAAUACCAUGUCAAGGCUUCCUCGUGAGAGUCUCUCCAAAUCUUUUCAGCAAAAUAGAUUCGAUCUCAUGGGGAGCUAAAUCGUUCCCCUUCACUGUUGUUGUAUAUGUGACAAUAUGCUCCUGAGGGUCCAAAGUCCCAUCAUAUUUUGGCAUGUCGAGCAUUUUAAACCGCUUCGGGAUCAAUUCUGGUGUCGCGCUUGGUUUGUAUGGAAACUGAGUGUACUUCUUUGAGUCUGGCCCCUUCAGCACCGGUGGUGCGCCCGGGAUUUGGUUCAUGCAAGGGUUUAUAUCCCUCAUAAACCAUAAGAGUUCACUUUUGAAGGGAUCACUCUCGUUGUUGUGACCGGACCCACUUCCCCAGCCUCAUCAAAGCUGACCUCGCCCCUCGGGGUGUUGUUGUCGGCCCUUUGCUUUGUUUGAUUAGCGGGAGCACCGGGAGGAACUGGACCUCGUCCAUUCGUGUUAUUGGAAGCAUCCGACAACGCCUGUUUCAGUUCUAUCAUAGCCUUAUCAUGUCAUGUGAGGUUGCCUAAAAUGACCUCUUAUUGUUCCUGCAAGACCCUUACUGCUUCAACAACAUGCUCCUCUUCAGCAUCAUCAGGAAUCAUCUCACGAACAUGUCGCGAGUACCGCCUACCAUGGACUGGCGUGGAAUCGUUUCCCCCAUUGCGGGUAUCACUGAUUGAAUCCUCGUGCUGAAGCUGGUCUCUUUGGGUCUCAAGAUUAUGUGUGUUGUUAAUACCAUUAUCUGCCAUUUUUGUGAUUUUUACUAAGAACGGAUAAACAAAACACGUUAGUAAAAAAGGCAAGGAUCAACUUAAUUACACAAUUGUCUAGGCCCCACGGUGGGCGCCAAACUGUUUACCCGUAAAAUGGUACAGUUGAAUUUAUAUGUGGUUUCUAGACAAGUGAAUUAAUUCAAUCCUGAAAUAAUAAAAAAAAUUAAAGAAAUAUGCAAUACUUAGCCUUGAGAUCAAGAUGAAAUAGCAGAAACAGUAGUUCCAGGAGCAAGGUUAUAAAACUCUGAAUGGAUUAUAGCAUAAGUUUGCCAGAAUAUUCGUGUCCUUUGCAAUAAUAACAUAGCUCACUAUUUAUAGUUGUACUUAGGGAACAAGUUCCUAGGAUCAUUCCCUUCUUUAAUGUCAAUUAUAAGAGCCAUUGAAGAAUGUGUAACGGUGAGCAUGAAUGGCAAAUUCUUUGUAACAGAUAGUGUAUUAAAUGCUGAAGAAUAUUCUCCAUUAAAUACUACCGGGUGACAAGAAUUUAUUGCAUCUUUAUGUACAUUAUUCUUUCCGGUAACAAAUGUAACAGUUGUCUUCGGUCUUAGUUAUCCUCUGCCUUCGAUUCCACGUGUCACCCUCUUAUGCAAUUACUUAACAUAACAUAUUUUAUCCUAUAAAAUAAUUACUAGGGUCGUAAUUACACAACCUAGUAAUUACGAUGACCUGUUUGUUUGUUAUAACAUAAUUACAGUGUAAUUAUAAGCGUACUGUUUGGUUUCACAAAUGUAAUUACACAAUUAGAUUAAAUUUUAAAUGAAGUAAUAAUCGAAACUAAAACUUAAUAUAAUAAAUAUAUGCCUAUAAAUAAUUUUUAUAAGUAUAAAUGAUAUUAGAUUUGGUAUUUAAGAUGCAUAAUGUUUCUUGAAUAUACACUAAUUAGUAAUCAUAUAUUUAUAACUAAUAUAAUAAAAAUAAUUGAUAUAUAUUUUUCAAAUUAAUAAUAUUUAAUUUAAUUAAUUAUAAAAACUAAAAUAUACGUUUUGUAAAAACAUCAUUGAAUGCAUGUUUGAUAAAAUAAAUUAAUAUUUAUAAAUAUAAUGUCAUAAUAUUAUGCAAAUGUUUGACAAAACUAAUCAAUUCUAACUAAAAAAUGAACAACAUACAAUGUGAAAUAAUAAGCCAAUACUAUUAAAACAAGUAAAUUGGAACAAUAAAUAUAACACAAUUUCAAAAUCCAAAAAAAAAAACUUUAACAUAUGUCAAAUUCCAAUAUAAUAAAAAAAAGUUCCAAUACAACUUAAGAUUAGGAAACAUAAUAAGUUUAUAAUUUCAUUCAACAACGGAAUUCUAUUUUAAUGACAUCACUCAUUAUAUGCCAAGUUUGUUAAUGUCACGCCUCGAACCUGGGUCUGGACGUAACACGGCACUCGGUGCCUGACUACAUGUGACCGAGCGAACCAAUUGGCUGGCUGAAUAAACAUGUGAUAUCAUAACAUACUGAAUGCGGAAGAUAAACUAGCACAUAUUAAUAACUGAAAGUCUGAGAGACAAAAAUCAAAGAGCGAAAAUACUAAUAUAAUUCUAGAACAUAUCUAUAGCAAACAUUGCUUAACAUGAAAAGCAUGCGACUCUGUCUAACUGUUACUCUAUUCUAUGAAGCCUAUAAUGAAGUACUGAAAAUACUGACUAUCUGUAAAUACUGAAAGACUGUAAAUAAUGAUAAUGCCCCGAAAGAACUAGGGCUCACCAAAUAGCUGGUACGAGAAUCCUAGCGCGCUGAGUCAUCAACCUAUAAAUCAUUAUCUGCAUUGUGAGAUGCAUGCCCCGGGCAAAAGGGGCGUCAAUACAUUUGAAUUGCACUAUUAUGUAAAGCAACUAAAAGAAAGAAAUGUAAAUGAUGAAACUGAAACUGAAACUGAAGUGAUAACUGAUAUCUGAUAACUGAAAUGAUAACUGUUGAAACUGAAACUGAAAUGAUAACUGAUAACUAAUAACUGAAAUGAAUACUGAUAAUUGAUAAUUGAAAUGAUAAUUGAUAACUGAUAAUUGAACUGAAUAAAGGAAGUAAUGAUAUGAAUACUCCCUAUUCUGAAUGAUGAACCACCUGUCUAUCUGAAUAAACUACAGCAUCGGGCCCAAUAUAUGUGCACAAGCUACGGCCUCAGGCCCAAGUAUACAUAUACAUAACUACGACCUCAGGCCAAAAAUGCAUAAAGCAUAAACUAUGGCCUCACGCCCAAACAUGCAUAAAGCAUAAUCUACAACCUCAGAUGUCACGACCAAAAAUUCACUAUAGGGUGUGAUGGUGUCUAACGCCGCCAUCAGGCAAGUCAACAGUGAUUUAUCAAUUUAAUUAACCAUUUUCUUACUUUAGAAAUCAUAGAUUUUAGUCAGGAAGGAGAUUUACACUUCUAAAUCCACGGGAACGUACAACAUUUGUAGUUUAUAAAAGAAAUGAAAGGCGAUAAUAAUAUACGAAAUCAUAAGCAUCAACUAGUAUAACCCCAAAACCCGAUGUCACAAGUGUAUGGCCAUUUACUAAGGAGUAGAAUAAUAAUAAUACAAUAUCUGUCUAGAAUGUAAAUAAGACGGGAUAAAAUAAAUAGUAUGAUGGAUACUCUGUGGACUGCGAUGCGUAGCCUGGUAUGCAGCUCACAUUAAGUCUCCUCCACUGUUGCGCCUACGCGCCAAGAUGAUCAUCAAAUGAACCUGUCAGAUCCUACACAUUUAGUGCAGAAGUGCAGCAUGAGUACGUAAAUUAUCGCGUACCCAGUAAGUAUCUAGCCUAACCCCGGAGAAGUAGUGACGAGGGGUCGACAUCGACACUUACUAGAGGUCCAAUAAGGGAAUAUAAUAAAUCAUAAGCAGAUAUGAAGCACACGACAAUAAUGUUGUAAAUCUGUAAGUUACAUAAUCUUCCAAAUAUUUCCUUUAAAGUAUAAAUUUCUCAAUCUUGUAUUCUACCUUAACAUCUCAGAAAAUAUCAAGUGUCAAUAUCAAAUGAAUAAGGAAUACCAUAUAAAAUGUAGGGCAUCAAUGAAAAGAUAAUCUCAUGAAUAUUUGAACUGCCAGCGAUAUAACACAUGAUUAUGCCGAGGUCGUUUGGUCCGAUCCAGAAUAAUAUGUACACUGGAGGCGUUCGGCCCGCUCCACAAGAAAGGAAGGGAAAUCAUCUAAUUACGAGACGCGUGCUUACAAUACAUGGGUACGAAGCGAAUUUAACCUUUACCAUUUUUCAAAUAACUUUCCAACAACUCAAGGUAAUAAAGCUCGUCCUACUUUAUAUGUAUGUAUUUCUAAAUAAAUUCAAUUAUAAUUUCAAUUAAUUAAGCCAGCAUAAUGAAUUCAAGUAUUUCAAUUAUUACAUGAUAAAGUCCUAAGUCUACCCCGACAUAAAAAUGCUUUAGCUACAUAUGGACUCUCGUCGCCUCAUGCGUACAUAGCACCCACAACUAACAGCACAUAACAAUUACAUCACCUGGGGGGUAAUUUCCCCCUCACAAAGUUAGACAGGAGACUUACCUCGCUCCGAAGUUCCAUAACCGACUCCAAUGCCUCUCUAACACCUCAACUCCAAGCCAAACAUUCCGAAACUAAUCAAACAACGUGUAAAUCAAUCAAAAUAUACUCCAAUGCUUACAAUUUAAUAAUUUGUAACAAUUCCCAACUCCACUCGAAAAUUCAAUAAAAUCAACCCUCGGGUCCACGUGCCCGUAUUCCGAAAACCUUCGAAGAUAAACUUUACCCAUAAUACCACGAACUCAAUAUAUAAUUUAUUCCAAAUUUCAUGUCCAAUUUCGUAGUCAAAAUCCAAAAAUACCAAUUUUUAGGUUUUCUACCAAAAUCCCAAAUUUUUACUAAUUUCCAUGUUUAAAUCCAUAUAUAAACCAUGUAUUUAACUCACAAUAUGCGGGAAUUACUUACCUUGAUAUAGAUGAUGAAAAUCUUCCCUCCAGGACCUCCAAAAAUCGCCCAACCAAAUGAAAGUUGUGAGAGAAAUUGGCUAAGUCUCGGAUUAAAAACACCCCACUGCCCAGCGACCUUCGCACCCGCGGUCAACUAGUCGCUUCUGUGGCUCUGCACCUGCGAAAAAAUCCAUCGCAGGUGUGGUUCUCUCCAUGCCAGGCAAAUCCUCUUAUGCGAAUCAAAUUCCGCUCUUGCGCGACCUCUUUUGCGGUCCACACCUCGCUCCUACGCACUCGCACAUGCGGAAACCUUUCGCUUCUCCGACUCCAGCUUCCAGCUCACUUUUCGCUUCUGCAGAGCAUUCUUCGCAUCUGCGGGCUCGCAUAUGCAAAAAUAUCCUUGCAUCUGGGGCAAUCCCUGCUCAGUCCAAAUGUCGCUUCAUCGACCACAACGCCGCACAUGCGGGCUCGAACCUGCGGCCCUUUCCACGCAGGUGCGAUUACACAAGAUCCGAGCUACCUCAGCACUUCUCCCAAGUCCAAACUCGAUUCGUUUCCAAUCCAAUUCGCAGUUAAGGCCCCCGGGACCCCGUCCAAACAUACCAACACAUCCCAAAGAAAGUUACGGACUUAGUCGAAGCCUCAAACCAUGUCAAAGCACAUCAAAACUAUAAAUAAAUGGCCAAAAUCUUUCUUCCAACUUUCCAGCCUUCAAACUUUGUCGAACGCGUCCGAAUUACACUUAAACAUUCCGAAAUGACGCUAAAUUUUACGCACAAGUCACAAAUCACGAUACGAACCUAUUUCAAGGCUCGGAACUCCAAACGAACAUCGAUAGCAUAAAAAUCCACUUCAAACCAAACUUAUAAAAUUCUAGAACUUCCAAAAUGCCAACUUUCCAUAAUAGGCGAUGAAAUGCUCCCAGACCACCCGAUACUCAAUACAAACACACGCCUAAGUCCGAAAUCAUCAUACAAACCAGUUGGGACCUUCAAAUCCCGAUUCCGAGGUCGUUUACUCAAAAGUCAAACCUUAGUCAAGUCUUCCAAUUUAAAGCUUUCGAAUUUAAAAUUUUCUUUCCAAAUCAACUCCGAUUUUUUCGAAAUUCAAUUCCGACUAUGCGUACAAGUAAUAAUACAUGAAGUGAAGCUAUUCAAGGCCUCAAACUGCCGAACGAUGCGUUAAAGCUCAAAACGACCGAUCGAGUCGUUACAUCAGGCCCAAAUAUGCAUAAAGCAUAAACAACGACCCCAUGCCCAAAUAUAGGUGUUCAACAUCCAUAGAUUUAAAUUCAGGAACUGAGAUUCAUACUACAAUAUGUGAUGCUGAAAUAUUGAAUCAUAUUGAGUUACAUGAUACUGGAAUAUUGAAUAGGACUAGACUGAGACAUGUAUUCUUGAACUGAUUAUGAAAACUGAAACUUCAAUUGUUUAUGACAUGCUGAGUAAUCUAGACUGAGACUCAUGGGCAUCAAACCCAAGCCUAUAUUGAUUACGCACUGAGCUCACAAUGUUCAGAAUGAAAGUCAUGAACAGGUUAUGAAGCUAGAGAAUAGAAGUUUUGUAACUAUUCAAGGAACUAGGUUUAACUAUAUUUCUGAGGCAAUUAGUAACGUUGUAAAAGAAAUGUAGUAUAGGGAGAAUCAUUCACAUUCCCAAACAUAGAGAGUUAGCCUCACAUACCUUAACUUCCUGCUCUUGAGCGUAAUACAACAUCUGCUAACCCUUUCAACUUUAAUCUAUAUCAAUACAAGUCAAAGGGAUUCCAUAUUAGCAAUAAUACUUAUAUUUUGGUCACUUAGGCAUUUUAUCAAACACCUUGAGGGCAUAAAGCCUCAUAGACCUCAUUAAUGGUGUUUCAACACCCAACAACCCAUUCUCUUGCUCCUAGAUAAAUUCUAAAAUCUCAAAUUUCUUAUAAUCGAUAUCAUUCCUCAUCACCCAUAAGAUAAACAACACCCUUAACCAAUAAUCAACAAUCAAUAACCAAAACAUAUAAGUGUUCAUACUUUUCUACCAGCCCCAUCAACUCAUAUCUCAUGAACUUAGAUUCUAUAAUCAUUAACCCAAAGUUAUAAUCAAUUGGAGGGUGAAGAUAUUAUCUUUUUAAAGUUCAAUCUUCUUGAAUUCGAGUUCUAGGGUUUCGUCUCUCAAAACUGAUGUCCCAAUCGAAUAUCUAAUAAUUUGAAAGAUUUACCCAUGUUAAUAAGGUAUUGGAGAAUUGAAAUAAACUUAGGAUCACCAUUAAAACUUACCUUGGAUGGUGGAGGGACCUCUAAGGAGAUAGGUUCUUGAGCGCUUCCUUUUCUAGAGCAACGUUUAGUAUUUUUGGGGUGUGGGGGACGAAGUGGGGCUUUUAAAAUGACCCCCAGGGUGCGCUCCUGCGCAGAUGAAGGCCCAACUGCGCACCUGGAUGCACAUCAAGGUAGUAGCACUGCCACAAGUGCACAGCCGCGCACGGGAUCAUCUGGGCGCGCACCUGGGCGCGCAUACUGCGCAUUGUCCAGUAUAACGCAUAUAACGUUUUGCUCAGAAAUCUGUUCAGACUACACAAUAUAUCGUUGGAAUGAUAUUUCAAAGGGCUACAUCUUUCAUGUAUUAGGUUUUCCCAAAUUCUCAACAAAGUUUAACGAAAUUCGGAUAUAAGACAGACCUUCUAUAAACUUAGUCGAUUUUAUCGAAUCUUAUGUAACUCACUCUCCGUCAUGAUUCCAAAACAAAUAGUUCCACCCAUAAUCAUCCCGAUAGGACUUCAUAUGUCUAAGAUGUCACAUUAAUACGCAUUUAACAUGUCCACACCUAGUCCGAAUUUACGGAGUGUUACAGUUAAUGACUUAUUAUUUCUAAUAUUAGGAGGUGUAGUUUGAAAAACUAGAAUAAUAAUGCAGUUACGCUAAAUGAAGAAAAUAAAACAAAUAAGAAAUAAAAUAUAAGAGCAAUUAUCUGGAAUCACAAGAAAUAAAGGUAGAGAAAUAAAAAAUAAAUAAUGUGCAAAGAAAAUAUAUUUUAAAAUUAAAAAAGAAAGUAAAAAGUAAAAAUAAAAUAAAAAAAUAAAAAUAAUGGAAAUAAAAAGUUAUAAAGAAAAUAAAUAAAAAUAAAAAUAAAAAUAAAAAGGAAAAAAUUAAAAAAUAACCUUGUAAUUACACAAUAAUUAGCAACAAUUCUCAACUCUCCCUUGAGAAUUGGAGAGUGUAAUUACACAUCUCCAAUUACACUCAGUUUCAUGUUGACCAAGUAAUUACUUGCUCAUACAAACAUGUCAAACUGUGUAAUUACAUCAAAUUACACCCAAAUCCAACUCCUAUGUGACUUUCCAAACAUGCUCUUAUAGUUUGAUAUUUUUUUAGAUACUUUUCGUAUCGAUAGUGUUUGAAUUAGUUUGUGCACAUCUCAAUUGUUUUAUUUAAUAAUAUAGUAUUCUACCAACACACAUAUCAAAAUUAAUUUUCAUCCAUCAAAAUUUAAAUAAUGAAGUGAUCCAUCAAAAUUUAAAUAAUUAGUAUAUUUUUGUCUCCAUUAAAAUUUGAGAAGUGAUCAUGCCAGGAACGCAGCUGAAACUCCAGAGGCGCGCACUUGGGAGCAAUUUUUCUUGCCUAUGUCUACCGGUGCCAAAAUGAUUAAAAAAUAAUUAUUUACUCAUAUUAUUCAAUAAAAAAUGGGUUGAUUAAUGAACUUUUUAAAAACGGAUUAAAUAUGAAUAAAAACUAUAUUAUUCACUUAGAAAAUAGAUAGUCAUUGAGUUUAAAUUUUAUAUUUGUAACUCAAAUUGAGAGUUUCUAAAGUAUGGGGUAGAAAUUCUCUCAAAAGUGAUAAUAUUCAAGAAGUCAUGAUAAUUCAUAUUGUCCGUCGAUUAAUCUAUUUUUUAUCCGUAUUAAAUAUAAAUUAAAUUAAAUAAUUUAUUUAUUUUUAUAUUUUUCUUUUUUCAAACCGCACAGAUCCGGCUCGACCCGUUCAAUUGCCACCACUAAUUGCCACCACUAUCAAUGCCCAGUGCCCACAACUUUUAUUACUAUUCAUUUUUGGUGCUAGGAACAAAGAACCAUAGUCCACUACAGUGCUUGUAGUGUGAGUGGAGAUGUGUCCGUCUCCGUGUCUCGCACUGACCUUAAGUAGUAGAUAAUGUUAGGCAAAUAGCCACCGACUCAUCCUUUCCCCCUUUUUCUGUCUUUUUCAAUAUUAGCCUUUUGGGUUGUAUCUUUUCUUUCUUUUUCGAGAUCUAUACCUUUUUUUUAAAACAUCAUCACGUCUACGCAAUUUAGUGACUUAACUAAUUUAAAUUCGUAUUACGGAUAAUAAUCAAAGUGAAAAUAUUCUCUUAACCAGGAACUCAAAAUUUGAACUUCUAAACCUAGGGUAAAAAUUCCAUUCAUCUCACAACAACCACACUCCUUGAUGAUUUAUAAUCUGUUUGGUCAAUUAUUUUUUGGAUCUAUUUUUUUUUCAAAGUUAAUAUAUUUGACCGAGCUUUUAGAAGAAAAAAAUAAUAUUUUUGAGUAAAAAUAUAAGCUAUUUUUAGAUGAUACAUAUUGCUAAAAGAAAUAGUUUUUUUUUAAAAAAAUAUACUUAAAAGUAUAUUUUAAAAAUUUGAUCAAAUACCAAUUGAUAUUCAACUGUACCUUUUUAAUUAUUCAUCAAAAAGUACUCCAAAAAAAAAA
This 57856-nucleotide long non-coding RNA is filed under the name Nicotiana tabacum (common tobacco). Its description in RNAcentral is "long non-coding RNA (NTAB_LNC007027)". Lineage: Eukaryota; Viridiplantae; Streptophyta; Magnoliopsida; Solanales; Solanaceae. The record is from RNAcentral.